UUCUCGACAGUUUCGUGCAUUUCUAAGUACUCAGCGGCACAUCGAGCAGCAAUCACAUUGUGAGCAUUGAGUGUCACGGUCAUACCAUAGCAAAAUUUGGCACAAAUUUCAAAUGCAGCAACACCGCCAGGAAUAUCUGAAAUGCAAAUCUCAUCAGUUGCUUCGUUGUUUGUAGUCAUCAGCAACUUCUGCAUGUAGUAACUCUUGGACAACAGGGGAAACUGCAUGUUCAGUUGGUAAAGAAAAUCCAACCAUUGUAAUUAGAAGUUGGAAGAGCAAAUAAAAGCAAUUAAACCAGAAGAACUACAAAAGCAAACACGAAUGAUUAAGAAUAGUGGGUGAUUUUUUUCUUUCAAAUGAAAUGCUGAUGGCAUCAUUUUACAGUAUUGUAAAUCUCUAAUUAUAUUAAUGGUGUCCUAGACUUGAAGAAAAGCAUAAUUAGCACUAAAGAUAUAAGGCAAGCAAGCAUUCAUUUAUAUUUAUUUAUUUACAAUGAAAAAGUUACUUGAAAUGGGUGACAAGUAAUCCAGCAUUACAUGAAAAUUUAUACCACCCACACUUCUUGAUGAUGACUGGAUCAUUGAUCCUAAUGUUACCAGGUAAUGAUUAUGCUAAACUUGAAAUCUUACUGGGUAUUAUUAUAUAAUAAUUAGUUCAACACCAAAUGCAAACAUCUCAGGAGCAAUGUUGAGUAAUCACGAUGGGUGAUGAUGUCCAACCUCUACUGCUACUCUUUGGAAGAAAGUGUUAGUACCUUAUGCAAAUGGAAUUUGAUAUUGCCCACAUGGAUGAUGAUAUCGGCUGCCAGGUCGGUUGCUACAAACCUGCAAAGAUAAGCAAGUCCUUUUUAUAUCAUGAUAGAAGAUAUUUUGACAUAGGUAACGAAAAGCACAAGUAUAAUCACAUUUUUUUCUCAACGCAUUAGGAGAUACCAUUACAGCAGCUAAGUAAAAUUGGAAAGGGAAUUCAGCAACAGAUUGAACAAACAUCACUUGCAAAAUCAAAAGCUAUCAGAAAAGAAUGUGCUCCGUUAGAUUUUGUAAAUGAAGCAUUAGUCAAUCGUUCUAUUUAGUGCAAGAAACAGUAGUGGAGUAUUAUUUCUACACACAAGCAUCAGCUAAACCUAGUUCAAAGUUCAGAGAAUUCCCUUUGUUCCUGACCAAGUGAGACGCGAGUUCUAAAUUGGAUAAUAGCCUAAGUUGGCGAGCAUUUUCCAUAUGGUUAUAAACAUGAAGCAUAACUGUAUCUCACUUCACGCUCAUGUGUCUAAAUGUAUAUCAAAAUGUUUCGAUCUGUUGACAGUAUGACAUUGUUUAUCCAAAGUCUAACUAGUUUUCCUUCGCCUAUUUAAAUCCAUGUGACACAAAAAAAUGAUGUAAGCAAAGAGAAUGAUAGAGUGAAAUUUGGAUAGGCAUCCACCACCAGAAGAAGAAGAAGAAAAAAAAAAUCUAAAUGAAAAUUUAUAAAAUAAUCCAGGAAACAACAUAUAUAGGAUACUAAUAGGAAACUCAGAAAACAUAGACCAGGGAUGACUAACCAUUAAAUCAUGGGAGAUGAUUGUACAGGGAUCAAACUUGGAAUUUGUUACCAACAGGUAUUAUUACCGAUUAAUGAAAUGUUUAAUCAACUUUAAGGAAAGUUUUAUGUUAGUAAAGGUAAAAUAAGAAGAAGAAGAAGCAACUAUCAACAAAAAAGUUCACACUUAUAAUGUUACUCUUCCAUUAUUGUCCUAUCAUGUGAAGCAUAUUAAUACAAACCAGCCCAACUUAUCUUAUAUAUUCUUAGAUUGGUAUCAUAUCAAUACAAAAUCAUCAAGAUUGGUAAGGUAUCUGGCUCUUCGUAGAGGAAAAUGCAUCAAAAGUUAUGAUACCACCAAGAUAGCUUCUUUAGAACCUUAUUAUGUGAAGCAUGGAAAAGGAAGCAAGACAAACGCAAGGGCGCAAGAGAUCACUAAUAUUGCAUAAAUUUUUGUAUCAUAUAUAAAAGACAUGUGGCUUGAGAACACCAAUACUUUCCGCUAUCUAAUUUGUACAUAGGAGAAAUUGAAUAAAUAUUUGAAAACUAAUAGUAAGUUGUGCAAUAUCAGAUUCACUGACAACAGAUCCCAUAAUAUUUAUGAGGGAUGCCACAUCUGAUUUAAAACAAAGAAGCAUCAACUAUACCAUAUGAAUGAUACAACAAAACAAAAUUGCAGAUGUAUUAUGCUUUGAUGAAAAACUUGGGAGAGACACUAAGAAUAAAUGGCCUUCACAAACAAAAGAUCAAUUUUGUCUUAAUUAGCUGAACAGGAAAUGUUGCAGAAAGCAGACUUACUGAUGCUUGCUGCAAAACCUGAAUGAGAAAAGGCAAAAUAGGCAUUUUUGUGAACCUUUAGUGGUAAUUAUAAAUCAAAUAGCCCUGAUAUGUUAAAAUCCAUUAUUUGUGCUUACCACUAAGAGUUGGGUAAGGCACAUAUUCCUACCUAAAUCUAUCUUAUUACUAAGAUUUUGGUCAAACAAUGGCCAUUAAGAAGUAAUCUAUAUCCACAACCAGUCAGUAGCAAAGGAAAAGGGAAAAAAUGAAUGUUUCCACAUAAUGUUUGAGAAAAUGCAGACAAGGAGGAAAAAAACAAAGUGCAAAAAGCAUAAUGCAGACAAUGUAUAGCACUCUAAAAGAAACAUAAAAAUCCCAUAUCAAUGUAAAAAUAAAAAGAGGUAUCUAAUACCUGAUAUCCUUCCCAUCACUCUUAAAUGAAUCUGGCUUUGAUCCGAGCUUCAUAAACUUCAUCCUGGAACAAAAAGAAUGCACCCUCUCCUCUACACUUCUGCUCAACUGAUGCCACCCUGCAUUCCUUGCAUCUAAGGAACGGCAACUCUUAUAAACAAGUGUGUCAGGUGCUCUCAGAGCAUCAUGCGUGGACCUACUGUAGGAGGAAGAAGACUGAGUAUUCCAGCCCUUGUGAGUCUGCAACAGCAAUAAUUAAAUAAGCAGAGUGUUGCAGAACAGAGCAGAUCAGGAAAGGAUCAAUAAGUUGACACAGCCAUUUCCCUUUCCCUCCCACUUGGUCGAGCAAGCAACCAAGAGAUGCGGUCUAAGGGAGAGGCCUUGCUGUUCCCCAGCUCCAUGGCAGAGCUCACGCAACCUGGCGCAACUUGGUCCGGCAGAGGAGACACCAGCACCCUUCCCUCUAUUUGAUAAUGGUGGUGGUGGCUCUCCGAAGCUUUGCUUGAAAGGUCGUUAAGAUCUGGCGACUGAAGCCAUGUUCCUCGAAUCAAGCUGCUUCAGUCGUUGGGAUCGAAUCACCUGCGACGCCAUGACAGCACCUCUAUGUGAGGAGGAAGUGGAACUAUGAAACCGCAGACAGAGAGAAUCUUUUUCUUCCUUUUUUUUCCCCCAUAAAAAAACAAUGAGGAGUUCAAGGAUGCCAUGACAACUGCUCUGGUGAAGGAAUCUUGCCAAGUUGCAAAAAUCCACAUGAAAAAGCAUAUGGAAUAGUUGCAUUAGAGCCAGGAAGGCAUGUGAUGUUGCAUGCACUUGGUACUAUAAGGCUUGAACGUGGUACUAAAAGCUAGAAAGGUUUGAAUAUAAUAUGCAGCCAGCUUUUGGAGCAAGAAGAACGGAGAAGACCGAGCUGAAUCGCCUGAACUCUCAACGUAAAGAAGACAAAGGAAGAUGAUGUGCAAGCAGUUUAUGUUCUUGGAUAGAUAGACAGCAGUCGCUGAAAAGAAACCACAAGCAAUAGAGAUGGGAACGGGCUCAACAGCCAAAACAGAGAAACUCAGAUCAACAAGAAUGAGCUUGCCAUAACCCACCAUGAAGUGCCAUCAACAUCAAACAAGAACAGCGGCAACAGCGGCAGAGUGAGACAUGGCAGGAGAAGAAGUCAUGGAAAGAAGCAGGUGUACUCAGGCUCUAAGGACGGCACUCUUCCAGCAGGUGGAGGUCCAUCAUGCCCCCUCCCAUGCCCGCACCUUCUGCGCCACUGUCAGUCUUUCUCUCACCCCCACACACCACCGCCCCGAGAACAUAGACACGCAACAGCAGCAGCAAAAGGAGACGAUAUCCUUCGAAUCCAAUGAACAGGACAAGCCAAACAAGUGGCUUCGUCCUCUCUCUCUCUCUCUCUCUUCUCCUUCCCUGCUUUACACGCCAUUUAUUGCACCUCUUCAUUGCUUCAGCUUCCCCUGUCUUUCUAUCAUUGACAUUCUUACCCCUCGCUUGGGUAGAUAUUCUCAGCAGCCUUAAAGUAUAAUAGAUUGGGUUAGAUUGGACUUAACACACCCUUUUCCAACUCAAAGUCAAUGCAAUUUGACUUGGGUUGGAUUCUUCCAUUAACCAAAAUUAGGUUGCUAUUAAAGUUACUGAUAAAUGAAUUGGAUUGAAUGAUGUAGAAAUAGAUAGAUUUAAUUAAAGGUAUAAAUACAAAUAUUCGAACUAAAUACUGUUUUGUGUCAUUGGGGUGUUAAAUAGGCACAGAAUCUAAAAAAUUGGAUCAUGAAUUGAACAUAUGAAUCUAACCUUAGAUCACAAACAUCAGUAUCAUUAACUCAACCCUAUACUGUAGUAGAACACAAACAACUAUUUCCUUUUAUCCUAAACAAUUUGAUGCAUUCCUUUUGUAAACUAAGGCACAAACUUCAAUGCAUUGAACUGGUCUUUGAGACCAGAUUGAGUAGCCAUCGAAGAGCAGCAAGAGAGCCUGACAGCAUGUAAGUUUGAAGUACAAGAGAUUUUGUUCAUCUUUGUCUUUGUUUAGACUUAGACAACAGAUGAUGAGAGAUUUUUGUCUUUGUGUUUAACUUCUGCCCCCAUGAGAGAAAUUGUUUUCUGCAGCAAACAAGUGAAGCAGAGGAGAAUGAACAUUAUACAUAUAGUUUUUACCUCUUCUUCACCUAUCUCUCUCUUCUCUCUUUUCAUUUCCCAAGGCUCAAACCCAAAUUCAUCAAUAUUAUCUAUAUGUUUUUAUUUUUAUUUUUGACAUGAUAUAUAAUUAUAUUUUUAAUUAUUGAAUUGAUAAUCUCAUCAUCUAAUCCAUCAGUUCAGCCAAUGAUCCAAUAUUUAUAUCUGUAGGUGAAAAGAUGGAUAUUGAGGCCUAUAUAUAUAUAUAUAUAUGUUCUAGAUUGGUGAGAUAGAUGGAAUUCAUGUCAUUUGCUUCAAUCAAUCAUCAUACCAGAUAGAAAAGGAUUGCAGUGACAGCAGCAAACCAUUAUCUGCCUUGAGUAUAGGUAAAUCCAUUAAACCAAGGUGUUAAAUCAAGGCAAAACAGAGGACAAAUCUUAGUGGGACAACAGAGCAUGAUCCAAACACAAGAGGAUCUCCCCAGAAGGGCUCUGCAACAGUGCAAGAUCCUGCACAUGGUGUUUUGGAUGCAGUGCUAUUGGCCUCACCUCAGAAGAAGAAUCUGUGGGUCUCUGAAUAAAAUAACAAUUUGAUCUCUUGAAACCCCAUGAUCUAGAACAGGGAUAGAGGGGAGACAAGUUCUUCUUAUUUUAAUGUCUUCUUCCUCUUUUCAGAGCACAAGAUCUGGUGCUUUGUGCAAUCUGAUGUGUUGGUGUUGGCCACAUUGCUGCUGCUGACUCUGGGAGUUUGUGUUGUGGGUGCCAGAGAAGAGGCAAAAGGGAUGAUGAUGCUUCAUGCCCACAAAUCUAGAUGCCUACCAAGACUAGAUGCCAAGAACAUGUUUGAUGGCUAUCUCCUGCAUGAGAACAGUCUUCUAAGCACUAAAGCAGAAUGGGGUAUGUUAAAUUCAGGUCAUAUGAGAUUGUCAUGUAAUAUAUACAUCUAUCAGAAAAGACUAGUUGAUUUUAUUAUCUGAAACAGUAAUGGGGUUGCUUUAUUUGCUGGAUGCAGGUGCACAAAAAAAUAGGCUAUACUGAUGCUUUGGUUCAUAUUUUUUUGGCAAGAAGAUCCUUCAUGAUACAUGGUAAGGAAUUCAAGAUGAGCAGCUUUAGUUGUCAUCAUCAUAUCUACAACCUCUGUAUUGUUGGUAUUCUUCUUUAAUCGACACUAGACGGUGGAUUUAGCUUUAAAUCAGCUCUUACUGUUCUCAGUUAGCUCAACUAACAUCAUCACUUGCCAUUAGCAAUUAAUAUAUGGAAGCUGUCAUUUGUCAGCCUAAGAAAGCAUAAAAUUAUUGGGAGAGUGAGAUCACGGUUUAGUUGAUGUCACGUGCCUCUUUCUUUAAUUGAAAGUGUCUCUUUAAACCUACUUUAAAUUCAUUCUGAUUAACGAAUCCAAAAUUAAAUCUAAAUGGAUUGGAUAGACUCAAAUAUCUAAAAGAAUUCGACCCGCUAUUAUUGUCGUUGGCUUGUUUUUUUUAUGUUUGUUCCAAGAUUGGGCUUAUCGGUCAUUAAAUUCAUGAUUUUUUUUAAAUAUAAAAAAAUGACUACAAAAGUUAGAGGAGAUUGAAGCCUCUAAGACUAAAAAAAUGAGAAGAGUCACUUUGCCUAAUAAAAAUUAUGGUUACAAAAGUUAGAGGAGGAGCAUCAUUACGAGAAGAGUUACUUACCAUAUAAAAAUUAUUACGAGACGUAUCAAAAUGAUUGAAAGUAAUAUAUUCAUCAUAUUAGUAAUUUGUUUAAUAUUAAGGAUAAUAGACUUAAAAUUCAUACUCGUUGAGUAAAUAAAAAAGAUCGAUAAACUUAAAAGCGUACAAGAAAAUCUUAAAACCAUACAUAUUAAAAUGUUUGACGUGUUUAAAGCCUUCCUAAGCUUUGACUAUAAUAAUUCAAUAAGUCAAAAAGGAGUUUUGAUAAAUGCAACUCAUGGCCAGCUCGCUAUUGGGUCUAGAAGAUCACAUACAUAUGAUAUGUGUUGCAACAAGUAGAGAUUCAGAUAUAAGUUAUCCGUUAGAGCUCUUGUUUUAUUGGAUGCCCAAUAAACUCUUAUAUUAUUGGAUUUUAUGGAUGAGAUAUAAUAAGAGCUAAUAAGAGAUUAUCAAAUAGAGAUCUACUAAUCUAAGAGGCUUAGAUAAUUGGAUAGAGAUCCAGUAUCCGAUAGAACAGGAUCUAUUAGGGUUAAAAGGCAAGAACCUCUAUAAAUAGGAUGAUCAAAAGAUAGCAUAGGCUAGUCUCUUCUUGAUCGCCCCUCCUAUUCUUCUCUAUUUUCUCUCUCCCUCGAUCGAUAGCCCUUAUUUGGGGUGCGUGGACAAUAAGAAGGAUCGAUCCAUUCUUGAUCAUGGUGCAGCCUUAUGGUGUGUGUGGAGAGGAAUAUCGUGCCACAAUUUAAGGAGCGUCGUUGCCUUAUCUACUAUAUGAAUUAUUGCUAGAGAAUAUGAUAAUUGACCUCUUUCAUCCUCUUCUAUGGAUCUAAAAUUUUUCAGGAAUAUAUGAUCUUCCUAGAUAACACAUCUCACAUGAUACGCAUAGUUUUUGGUUUUACGAUUUCUCGCGCACUAAUCUUUACAUGAUGACUAGAUAUUUUACUUUGAAAAUUUUAAAAUUUAAAUAUAUGGAUCUUCGCUAUGGACGUGAUGUUUUAUCAAGGUUUCCCAACAAGAGCACUAUGUAGUGUAUCCUUUGUCAUCAUGGAUGGAUGGAUCAAACUUAAUUUCUAAUGCUAGACCCUUUAUAGAUAGACAUAGACAAUUGACUCGAGUCAAAUGGGUUACAUACACGUUCCACUGUCUUACCCUUGAAAGUUGGACCAGGAUUGGAGGAGAGAUUCUAAGCUGGGACCGUGCGUUGGUUCCUUACCCCACCUUCCGAGAACAAGCCAGGGUUAGCAUAGUUGGGAGUUGAUCCUGAAUGCCUUACUAGGCACGCAGACCAACUUUGUUUGAACCAAACCCAUGACCCGAAGAUCGUCCUCACAACUAGCUAUGCUAUAGUGAUAACAUAUGCUCAGGAUGUUCUCGUACACUAUGGUUUGGAAGAAGUGAGAAAUACCCUCAUCGUUCCAAAAGCUCCAAAUAGAAGUUUAGCAAAAUUGAUCAGGACACAAACUUAGUAAAUUUGCCCCUAGAUUCGGAGAGGGUAAUCUCAUCAAUUUUAAUAAUUCUUUGGAUCUUGGAAGUGAUUAUACUGAGGACUUUGGAGUUGAGAAGCUCUAGUGGAAAACCGGGGAGUCAUAUCCACAUUGGAGCAAAAUAACCUCGAUGCCAUGUCCGCAAUCUACACUCCUUAUAGAGUUUCCAGAUCUUUGGAAUGAUAGAUUGAAGAAGCUCCAGAGGAAGGGUAUGGCUCUAGGAACUUACCAUAGAUAGCAAUGUCUCCAAUCCUCCCUAGCACUAGUCACUUAAUGAGGUUUGGAGCUGCUCUCCUAGAUACGAGGCAGGGCCUCCUCACAAUGACUCCACUCCUCCUGUUGCUACUCUAGGAACCCCUGAAAAGGUUAGCCCAGAUCAUUAGAAAUAGUGAGACCGAUGCAGAAGAACCCCGAGGGGGCAAAGAUUAGAGGAAGGCGAGGUUGCUUGCCAUCGAAGGCUUGGGAGCUUUGUCUCAAGGAAUGAGAGGAGGAGAAACUAGGGAGACCUUAGGCAGAGGAGAGCGCAUGUUGUCGGCCAUCAGUAAGGCCAACAGCACAACAAUUGAAAGAGCAUUACAGUGCCCCCGAAUUAUUAUUUGUUAUUGAAAAGACAAUUCUACUCAUGAAUUAAAGCUUAUUCUUUUUGCAACACUAUAUUCUAAGAUCAGUGGUGCAAAAAGAAAUAAAGAAAAACCUAAUAAAUUUUACUAGAAAUAAUCAACGAUAUUAAUUGUUAUUUUUUUUUAUUCAAGAUAUUUUUCGACAGAAAGAUCAAAGGCAAGAAAAGAUGUAACCAAUCUCCAGUUAGGAUAUUACAACUUUCCUAUUGUUCAAAAAGUUGUGCCUGCAUCUAAUCCAUUCACGUUACAUUAAAUUUGGCUGACCCGAGUAAAUUUAUAUCAUUGUAAAUGCAUAGACAAACAGCGCUAAGGAUGGAACCAACAACAAUAUUAUAAGUUCAUUUCGCACAAUACCACAAUAUCAUAGCAAUCAAGACAAAACAAUACAACGAAAUCCAAAAGGAGAGCAUCCAGAAAACCAUCUCCAGAUAGAAGAGCUUACACUUCAAUAGAAAAAGGAAAACAAAUUACAUGAUUCACAAAGAUUAUAAAUUGCAAAGAUGAAUUCAUAAAAAAUGAUUCAAAAGAAAAUUGGUUUUUGAAACAUCACCCGUAGUCAAUACUAAAAGCCUAAAACCACACUCUGCAGCAUUUGAAUGUUUGCUAUGCCUCGCAAAAUUCAUAGAAAGGGAAUGGGCAGUAUCAAAGACAAGUUGGUAUUCUACAUAUAUGACCACCACAUAGACCAGCGUUUGGGAAACUAAGACAUUACCUACUGGGCCUCAUCUUCUGGUAUGUUUUCACCAAGACUGCGCUGUGCCAAUCUGUAGUACAGUAUUCCCAUUGUUGCCAUACAUGCCCUGCUCACAAAACAGAUAUCAUAUAAAUCUCAGUCUUGAAGUUAUCAUUUUCAGAGGAAACCAUUAUUUCAAAAUAUGAUGCCAAAAUCAUAAACGCUAACAGUCGUGGACAAGAAAUCUGUAGCUAAGCACUACAAACAGCCUGUCCAUAUCUAUGAGAGAGCCAGUAAGUUGCAAGUUUUGCUCUCUAUCAAACAUAUAAUGUCAGUUGUUCAUGAGAGUUUUUUUUAGUUGUUCAUGAGUUGAAUAGAGAACAAAUCAUAUUAGAAGAACUAGAAGAGACACAUAUUUAAUUGUCCUCAACUUCUAUGUCAACAAAGUUUCUGUCUUUCCAAACUCCGUACACAUAUAUUAAUUCGGGAGAGAUAUAUAUAUAUAUUCAACUGAUAAGCCUGGUACCUACACGUAAAUCAGAGAACAAAUUAUGCAAAGUCAACUUCAAAUUUUCAUCCAUAGACACCUGUUGAAGCAGUACUACAGGUAAAUCAGAGAACAAAUUAUGCAGGUCAAAUUCAAAUUCAAAUUCAAAUUCUCACUCAUAGACUCCUGUUGAAGCAGUAGUUUUUCAAUUUAAAACGCUUUCCAAGUUUUGUUCAAUAAAAUGGGGAAAAUUUCACAUAUAUCCCUCCAAAGUUAAAUGAUUUUAGUAUUUGCUCCCCUAAAAAUUAAGUUUAGCAUAUAUAUUCCUACAGAAUUCAAAAACUUAUAUAGAUAUCAUUGUAGUUAAUUUCGAUCAGUUUAUCAUUAGCAUAAUGCUAUUCUUGAAAUGUCCAAUGACACUAAAAAAAUUCAAAAAUAUUACCCAUAUUCCUAUAAAUUAUUAAUUUUUGUAUUUAUUUACCCCUUUAACUUUAAGUUUUUGACAAAAUCAUUUAAGGGAAUUUUAGGAAAUUAAAUUUUAAUAUUUCAUAAGCUUAUUGGUGACCAUUGUUAUUAGUGGUUGAUAUGGCAUAAAUGAAUGAUUAAACAUUUCAGGAGAUAUAUAUGCAAUGUCUAAAUAUUUGGAGUAUAUAUUAUAUAUAUAUAUAUAUAUACACACACACACACACAUACAUAAAUAUUUAAAGGGAUAUAUAUGCUAUAUUAAAUUUUGGAUUAUACGAUUUUGAAACUUUGAAAGGUAGAUGUGUAAAAGCCCCAAAAACCAAAAUUGAACUUCAAAUAUAUGGUAAGAGAAGUCAGAGAAAAUACAUGAUUGCCAUGAUAAGUAAAAUUUUCCUCGGGUCCAUUCUUGAAGAUCUUUGAUGUCGUAUUCUUCCUUCUGGAAUGCUAUUUGCAUUAGAUUCUUUGCGUGGUGGUGCAGUCACUGGCAGAGUAGGCAGUGCGUUUGACCAGAAAGGUAGUAACAUUCUUAGAAACUUGUGACCAACUGGACCUGCAAUUAAUAUCAAAAAAACCUAUAUCAUGAGUUUCUUAGCAACCAAAAUGCGUAGAGUUUCUUAGCACUUACAAUUUAUAACAGUGAAAUCUAAAUGAAAGGAUCUGACAUAUAGCUUACCCCGCCGUGUGUACUUUUUGUUUGUUCCAUCUUCAUCGUCAACAUAGUAUGAUGUUUCUGAAAUUUGCCUGUCGACAUGGUAAGUAGGCUUUCUUGUAGUAGCACCAGGCUGUAUGUCAGACACAACACAUCAAAUAUCAUGAUCAUCACUGCACUAAUGGAAUAAGUCAUAGAAUAACUUCAAAUACAAAAUAAGUCACAGCACUUGGACAUAGAGCUUAUUAUUUCUCAAAUAUCACUUAGGCUUACUAGACUCGUGCUUUUCACAAGAUGGUGAUCUUGAUUUUGCAUGAAUUGGUUUCCUAAAGCAUCAGGGCCAUCAACUUCAACAAUCUCUGGUUCUAUAGGCUUAGAGGAACCCACUCCAAUAGUAGAGUUAUAUACUUCAUCUGAGUACUUAUCAUCUGUCACUGGCAAAGAUAAUGUUGGUCUUGAAUCUUCAACAGGAUCAACCGAAGUUGCUCCACCUUUUUCUGUGUCUUCAACGGCAGAUACAUGCACAAGUGGGUCAGAAGCAAAUGCGGGAGGAGGCACACGAUUCUCUACUGCAGGAAGUGAAACUAGGUGAUUUCCAAAUACAUUUUUCUCGAGUCCACUCUGCAAUACAAGACAGAAUGCAAAAUAAAUUCAAGAGCAUGAAGACAAUGAUAUUAUAACUGGAGGAUGUUUGGAGGAAAUAUAAAAGCAUCUAAAAGAGGUCCGGCAACAAUGCAAUUUUAACUCAAAAAAUAAUUUUUGAUUAAUGCGAAAGCAUAAAGAGGAAGAUAUGGUGUUCAAUGAAUGAAGGUUCAGUAAUUGUCCAUCAUCAUCUCUUGGUCAGUGAUGCAUCCCAUAUAAGCUAAAAGAGUACAACUUAAUCAUAGAGAUUAACCCAAGAUAAUUUUUUUAAACAAAUUUUCUGCACAUGAUAAAAACAAUUUCAUGGGCACUUUCUGUAUAUAAGUUUAGGGUUAGUUACAAUAAGUUUAAAAUAUAGAGAUGAUAAGAUGGUCUUAUUUCAGGAGAUGAUUAACUAAAGACUCAGUUGGCUUCUUUAUCAGUCAGUGUCCUAUAGAAGAAAACAAUGUAAUCAGCUAACGAAAAGAGACAGAUGUAACAAAAAUAUACCAAAUAAAGAGGAAUUUAAUUUUGGUUUGUCAGUCUUCUAUCAACUUCCUCUUCUUUUUAUGGUACUUCAUGCUCCUAUCUCUAUGUUCUCUUGGACCAUCCUUCUAACAUUUCAUAGAUUUAAGUCAUAUUUCUUGUUAUACUGAAUCUUCUCUUCUCUACUAAGCUGCAUAUAUGGUAGUCACGAACAUUUGAACUUCACUAGACAGACGCUUUCACCUAUUAUGCCAUCCUGACUGUUUAGCCUACUGAACCUGAAGGCAUAGCUUAUGUGUCUAAUUAAUUGGAAGCUUCUUGUUUAGCCUAUACAUUUGGUAGAUUUAAAUAAGUUCAAGCAGAUGCUUUAGUGGCAUCAUGACAGGCACAGCUUCUUCCUAUAUUUGUAGGCCAAUAACCUUUAAGGUAGUGUGACCCUAGCUUAAUCAGAAAGGAACCGAACAAUUGGAAAUUUUUACGCUGAUUGUGCCUUUUGCAAUUUAAAAGAAGGAUAAGAAUAACAAAACUUGUAUGCAAGAUAAAGUGUCAUAAGCUGACGUAAAAGAGUUAGAAACAAGCAAGAAAGAUGACAAAAAAGCUCUAGAAACAAGCAAGAACAAAGAAGAUUAUAACAUAUAUAAACACUGCUCUUGAAUGAAAUAGAACAGAAAAGUCUUGUGCUGAUUUCUGGGUUAAAAAAAAAGGGCAGAUGCCAGAAGUGACACUAAAAACAAUAGCAUUGUUUACAUAUAGCAGAAAACAAUAUCAUGAUAUAUAGGGGCUUGAACUAGCAUAGUAGUUAAAUGGCAACAUACUUUGUAAGACAAAACAAACUUGAAUACAGAAUAUGAAAUUUUGAAUAGGAUAAUUCAAGAUUAUAAGUAUCCAAAUCUGAGAUUAUCCAGCUAACAAUUGUUCUGCAAAAUCCAAAAAGGCUUAUAGCAAUUGAAGAGAUUGGUAUCUGCUAGUCCAUUGACUUAGCCACGUAUAAAUAUGAUCAACAUAAUUAAGAUCAAUAAUGUAGUUUGAUGUCCCAAAUAGAAACCAACAAAUUCCUCACCUGCUUGAAUGUUCACUAUUUAAUAAAAAGUUUCUAUUAUAAUUAAAAACAAAAUGAACGGUGAAAGCUUGAUAAAGCCACCUACAUAGACAUGUGAAAGUUCACUUUUUGAAGUUAGAAACUUGGGAUUUAGACAUUCAUGGUACAAAAUGAAGAAUAUAGUAAUCAUGAUUUAGGAAAAAUGUGAGAGUUACCUGUAUUAUUGCUUCCUUGAGUUUUGAGUGGAGAAGAGAACUCGUAUCUUUGAUGCUUAUAGGAGGCCAUAUCUGCAAAAAUGUGCUAAUUCAUUGGGAAAUUCAUCACUGCUUUCCAGGACAGAAUUGUAUAUCAUAACAUAGAAAGCAGAGUAAUAUCUAGUUCUAUGACUAAAGCUGAAAGGAACCAAUUCUAUCCUUGUCCCUUCCUUAUGUUUAUCAAAUGAAUAAGCAAAGUCUUCCUAAACUUAUAAGCAUACAGGCCACUAGAAGAUCAUAAGACACUCAAUAUUUUACAAAAAGAAAAAUAAAGAAAUAAAUUCUUGAACUUGUCGAUCCAACCAUUUCAGUUUGACCCAAUCCAUUAAAAAGGUCAGUCCAGUUCCUUGACCCACAAGCAGACUGAAUCAUGUACCGGUCAGUUGUUAUCUACCCUUACUACCUAUCUGAACCUGAAUUAACCUGCUUGAUUCCCAGUUUAAGGUUGACCAGAAAAACUCCUGGCAAAUGGAACUGGUUGACUGUGAAACUAGUUAAGUGAUAAGAGAAGUGAACGGUUUUUUUUAACGAUUUGACUAAUGCCUUGAGUUUGUUCAAAUCUUCAGAUGUGUGACUUGUACAAUUUCCUCAAUAGACUACUAAAGAUGUUCACACAACCCACUGUCAAGCAACUCAAGAGUUUCCUGUGUUUUCAACCUAAAUUCAGGCCAACAAAUUCCUUUCUAAAGUAGCAUUUCCUCUAGAUAAUUUUAAUUAUUUUAAUUUUUUACAAAAUUUUUUAUACCUUUUUCUUUCUUUUCAUGUCAAGACUAUUAAAAUUUAAUCUGAAAUUGCAAAAACCAUGUAAUUGAUUAAGACAUUGCUAGGACAAUUGCAUAGAUGAACAGAUCAAAAAUAUAUAAUUAUUUAACUUUUGUCAUUUAAGAAAAACAAAACAGUCUCUUAAUCCAUCACUUGCAAACUGAAGUCUGUUCUGCAACCAACAAAAUGUAACAAUUCAAAAUUUUGCUACAAUAACUUACAGGGGAAGAACAUGCAGGACACAAGUAUCCUGCAGGUGGAGUUUGAGGUGAGAAACUUUUAAUAUGUGAGACCAAGCAAUGUGUGUGCAUAAGAUCUGAAUGAGACAAACACAGAGAAGUUAAUAUAUUGUGAAUUGAGGUAACUUGUUCUUUUUAGAAAAAGUACACAUGUAAAAGUGAGAAGCAACAUACGCAAGCAACCCAAUCGAGUAGUUUGAUCGGUUCCAGCUUCCAAUGCAGCAUUGCACAAAGAGCAUAUAGGGGGCCAGUUAUACUCCCCAUCAACUACCCAAUCAGAAUAUUUUUUUACCUAAAGAUUAAGAAAGAAUCAGUGAUUUUAUAAAAUUGGUAGGAAACAGUAAAAUGUGUAAGUAAUAGAACAAUAAAAUUGGUUAGAUAGCAUUUUAUAAAAAAAUUAAAGAACAAAAAAAUAAAGAAUCUACAGUUAGUAUGAAAUUUUAUGAGAUUAGAGGCUCAAGAAAAAAACACAUUGGUAAAUGAAUAAUGUGAGCGCAACAUCAUUUUCAUCCAAUAGCUAUUGGAUAAUAAAAAUAUUUCAUAUCAAAAUAUCAAUGACUAAAAUUCAACAAAUAUAGGUAUUCAGAUAUAUAGCUUUCCUUUGGAGCAUACUUUGUCGAUGAAAGUGAAAAAUCAAAAGGACUGGUUCCUCUAAGUAGUGACUAGCUACCAAAAGAAGCAAAAGGUCCAAUUGAGAAAUUUGUUGCAAGUCCAAAGGCUUCAAGUUUAGAACAAACUGAAAUUCCCAGUUGCUCCUGAUCCCCAAUUGUUUAUAGCAAUUAUAUGCUCUAAUUUAUGAAGAAUUUCCAGAAGAAGUUCAAACAAGAUCCAAUAUUUGGAACCUUGCAUGAAGUCUUUUAGACACAGAAAAACAUUUAAGAACAGUAAUGCCAUGGGCAUAUUUGAUGCGAACAGUUGUUUCAGUCUUCACAUCGAGCACUUGAUAAGCAUAAAUUUUGCGAAGAAGGUGAUUGCAGCCAUGGGUUUAAAUAUCAACACUGGUACCCAUAUUGGAACCUUAUUGGAUCAAGUCCAGUUGAGAAAUGGCACGGUAAGCCUUAGUGUACUGUUCAGAAUACAAAAAAUCAUUUAUAUAUUAUUACUAAUCAAUAUAGUUGUUGUUCCAAUGUACAGAUGUGGUAUUGUUAGUAUUUCAUGGUAUUGUUGCUAGAUCUUUUUUACCCUUUUUCUAACACUUUUGGAAUGAAAGUAUUAUAUUUACUUUAUUAGUUUACGUUUUUAUUGCUAUUGUUGUCAUGCUUGUUUUGCUUAUUGCUCUCCACUUCCUUUAUCACCAUACAUACCGUAGUUUUUUAUGUAGUGUAACCACCAAGGAUAUUUGCCCGGAAGAAUAAUCUGUGCUCCAGUGCUAAAUUGUUAAAUCCUCAAUGCAACAUCUCUAAAAAAAUUACAUGUGUGAAGAAUUUAGUAUGUAAUGCUGCCAUCAAAAGUCCUUGUGGAACAUGACUUAUGCUAACCAAGCUAUCAAAUGCAAGAUAGAUAUCAAGGUUAACAGUUAAUACUACACUAAAUAAUCUUAUUAAAAUGUCCAGAUGCGACUAAUGACAUUCUUGUUUACACCCCUAGUUGCAGUCAGUAAGGUAGCACCAUAUCGUUUGUACUUCAAAUGUCCAGGCAGGAGAAAAUAAGUCUCUACUCGUAGUACAACAGAUUUAGAUGAUUACCACGCAGAUUUGAUGUUCUGGGAAACAAAUGCAUUGACCGCAAACAGGAAGCUUGUGGACGAAACAAUAAAGCCUGGUUGCCUGUAAAUUUAAUGCUCCAUUAGUUUCAAGAAAACCACACGACCGAGAAUCAAAACCGCUUCUAAGAAUAUAAAGUAAAACAAAUUAAUCCUGCUUCGAUUAUUGAGCGUGAAAACGUUUUUUAACCUUCGAAAACAAAUGGGACUUCACCUACUGAAAGAAACUCAAGAAUCAAGAGAAGCAAAUCCGUCGAAAUCCUGAUUUUGCACAACCUCUUCUCUUACUCAAUAUAAAACUACCUGAAUUUAAGCUAAAGUUUACGCCCCGCCAAAUCGAUGAUGACGAAAAUUUCCGAUGAUAAUGAAAACCUAGUGGAAUCGAAUAAAUGCCUAAUAGAUCCAAUGCUAGUACGUACGAAUUCGACCAGAAAGCCGCUGUUAUAUCUCGAAAUUCCGAAAGACUAAUUAAAUUCUCAAAGCAACUGGCAUCCGAGUUCCAAAAUUCGAUUCGAAACGAAUCGAGGAACCGAAAAAUGACGAUAUGAAACGCAUAGUACAAUACCGUGGCGCUCAGCGAGGGCAACAAGAAAAUAAACGGAAUUGAAUCCGGGUACCUUGCGGCACUUGCAGACAACCAUCGCAUCGAUCGAAGAUCCCGCGAGGAGCGGCGUGAACGGGGAGCUCAAUGGAUCAGAGGAGGCCUUGGAUUUUAGAUUGGAUCAAAAGGGUCGCGCGAGGCGAACAGAUCGGGGAGAAGGACAGUUUAAGAGACGCCCGAGCGGAUGCGAAACGAGACGGGUGCGUCCGCGUCCGAGUCACGGUGGAGCGGUAACAAACAAAGAGGCGGUGUGUUUUGAUCUCAAAGGACGUGAUACGUGAAGCAAUAUUAGCAGUCAUCGACGCGUUCAUUUCAGAUCGUAGGGCCGUGAUGUCUAGUGCCUUCGUUAUUGCUCCGUGAUGAUAGUCUUGACCGGUUCGAUUCGAAUCGGAAUCGUAUCGAAAUCGAAUUGACUCGACGGUUCUUUGGUUCCAAAUUAAAUAGAUAAAACGAUUUAAUUAUAUUUAUUAAUUUUGAGAAUCGAAACCAUCCGUUAUAGUUAGAAUAAUUGAUUUUUUAUUUUUUUUUUAAAAUUAAAAAUAAUUAAAAAAUCACAAUGCUAAGGUAUUAUGAUUUUAGCAAUCGAUUCCGAUCCUAAAUGAUUUGGUGCCAAUUCUCAAAAAUUUAGGAACUCAAUUCCAAAACUGAAAUCAUGGGAUCCGAAAUCAUGUCAAAGUCUACAUGAAGAACGGAGAGGAUUCAAAUGGAUUAAUCAUGAAUUCUACUAUGAAUUCAUUAUGUACAUUUAUACAUCCGGAUAAUAAGACAAAAAAACCCUCAGCCCCUAUUGAAAUGACACCGACCGCGCUGGUUUUGAAUUCGCUGCCCGCAAACUCUGAUUGCUAAUCGCUCCGUCCAUUUUCAUUCGCCCCUUUUCUCCUUUCGCCAUCAGAUCGCGGUUUGCUUCCGCCGCUCGUCAAACCCCUGACCCUCCCUCCGAUUUCCGGCCGCUAUGAGCGCCGCCACUCUUCCGGCCACCGGCGGGAGGGAGCUCUCCGACCCACCCUCCGAUGGCAUCUCCAACCUCCGCUUCUCCAACCACAGCGACCUCCUCCUCGUCUCGUCGUGGGACAGGGUAUGUCCCUAAACCUUUCCUGCAAUCCCCAUUCUCCCGCCCCGACGAAACCCUGACUUCAUCUCCCUAGGGUUUGGUCUUUUAUCUCUUUGGUCACCCGCAGUAGGGCUUACUGAUACCCUUGUGCUCAGAGUCUUCGUCUUUACGAUGCCGGCGCGGACGCUCUCAAGGGGGAGUUCGCGCAUGUUGGCCCUGUCCUCGAUUGCUGCUUCCAUGACGAUUCAUCGGGCUUUAGUGCCUGUGCCGACCAUAUGGUCAGAAGGUGUGCAAGGAAUGUUCUCCGGGUGCAUUAUGUUUCUCUUGCUGCUUUUGUGGUAGUUAGCUACUCUGAUGCUUGUGUAUGUUGCUCUUUCUGUUUAUAGACAAUUUCAGGAAUGACCAAGCACUCGUUUUAUGUUUCGUUAUGGCGUUUUUCUAGUAGCCCGGUGGAAUAUUAAUAAGGUCGGCACUAGUGGUUUUAGGGUUUCAGAUGCUGGUGGUUCGCUAAUCUGGAGCGUUAGGGUGCUGGAUUACUGCCAAGUGCUCUUUGUCUAUAUGGCAGUCAAAAUGUGGUUCUAUGCUCGAGCAUCAUGGUUACUUUGAAGUAGAUCGAGUUAUAUGAUUGGUUACAAGGCUAAUCAAGUUCUUUUUCUAAAGGGGCUUUUCUAUUUUCAUUUUGAGCCUUGGCACCAUGAUAAUGCUGCUCCUUCACAACUUUGGUGGCCAGAAUUAGAUCCACGGAGAACAACCUUUUUGUUUGUAGGAAUGAGGUUGCAUUCUUUGACCCCCCCAUAAACUCAUGUUGGCGGGAGUCUCAUGCACUUGACCACUUUUUAUUCUACUUGUCUCUGAGCAUUUCAUAACAAAAUUUAUUAAUCGUAUGAUUCCCCAAUUCUUGAUAAAAACAUGCUAUUCUGGAGUUCUGCAAGGAGACAUACUAUCUAUUAGUUCCGAAAUCUCAUAUGGGAAGUACACACUUUACAUUGCUAAAUUAUAGAUAGUUGGCCUAAGAAUUAUUGUCACUUCAAAAUCAUGUUUGCUGAAUUUUCUUCUUAGAAAAAAAAUUAAUGUUUUUUCGGUUAACAUUAGCAAUUUGCAAUCCUAUGCACUUGUUGUAAAUGCGACCUAAUAUUAACGACUGUCUUCAUUUUAGUUCUCAGCUUGUCUUAUUAGUUGAAAUUGCUUAUUUGAGGAUCCUCAUGGUCCUUUAUAUGUCAUGCAUAGAAUAUUUCAAAAUUCUUUGGUGACUUCAUAUGUUGGAAACCUACCUUUGUGCGGAGAGGCUAAUCUGAGCUGAGUUGCAGUAUGAAUGUCUUACUGUAUAUUACUCUAUUAGCUACAGUGAUUUCAAUAGGCGCUCGGGCGAGGCGAGGCGAGGCCCGAGUGCCUCGCUUCAUGUCCAGGCGCCUCCUCGCGAGGCCCGAGUGCCUCGCUUCAUGUCCAGGCGCCUCGCUUCAAAGAGGCGCCGCCUGGGCGCUCUCCCGAGCCCAGCCGUCGGGCGCUUCGGGCGAGCGCCUGGGUUAAACCAGGCGACCGAACUAGAUUUUUAGGUCUGGUUGGUCUCCGAUGCUUUAGUUGGUUCAAUUGAACCAACUAAAUCACCGAUAUCAGGCACCCUCUCGUGAUUUCCCCGACUUCCCCAACCCUAACACGUGAUUUUUCCACCGAGAUUUCUUCUCCGCUAUUGUUGCUCUCUGCUGCCACUGCCACUGUCGUUCCUCGCCGCUACUGUUGCUACUCGCUGCUGCCACAAUCGCUGCUCACCGCUACCACAAUCGCAGCUUGUCGCUACCACAAUCGCUGCUGUCGUUGCUCGCCGUUGCUGUCGCCGCUCCCGCUAUCGCUUGUCGCUCCCGCUAUCGCUUGUAGCUCCCACUCCCGCUGUCACUUGCCACUCCCGCCGUUGCCGCUCCCGCUCCUGCUCCUGCUACGACUGUUGCCUGGUAUCAUUGUCGUUGCCUCAGCAGCCUCGGUCUUCUCACACUCUUCUCACUAUAUUGUUAACAAUAUAUUAACAGUAUACUGCUAACUGUAUACUAAUAAUAGUAUUUUUAUUUAUUAGAUUAAUAAUAUAUUAUUUUGAUUUUAAUACUAUUAAUUUUUAUUUAUUUAAUAGUAUAUUUUUUAUUUAAAAAAUAAAAAGUAUACUAUUAUGAUUUAUUUAUUUAUUUAUUGUGAUUUUAUACCCAAUUUUUUUAAUUUAAUAGCAUAAUUUUAUUUAAAUAAUUAUAUUUAUUAAUUAUAUUAUAUAUUUUUAUAUUUUAGCGCCUCGCUUCGCUCGGGCGAGCGUCUGGGCGAGUGCCUAGCGCCUCGGGCGUUUUUGGACCUUGGCGCCUAGCGCUUUUUAAAUCACUGAUUAGCUAUAUGGUUUUAAUCUUCUUUUUUCAUCUAAACAUAGCAGAAGAUGAUGCAUUGUGUCAUUUUAUUAUUGAAGUGUGCAAACAUGUGAGUAUGAACCAUAUUUUUUCUUUCAUUAAGAUUUUUGCUUAAUUGGUGUUGUAUUGUCAAGUUUGUUACUGGUCCUAUAAUAAAACCUUAUAUCCUUCAUCCAUCUAUCAUGUGCAUCAUUUUGAUGAAUUUAUUUUUAUAGGGUAUGUUCGACACUCAACAGAUUUUCUGAUUUUAGUGUUGGGAGACAUUUACUUUCUUAAAACAAUUAUUUUUAUAUCAAUUUUUUGAGUGAGAAUUUGCCUAUUCAAGCUAGAAAACUGCGUCUUGGGUUUUCUUCUCAACGUUGAACUGUUGUAAACAAAGGGAUGCUGUGAUGGCAAUUGUGGCGUAUUAUGGUAGUGGUAGCGGUUGUAAUGGUGACAAUGAUGUCACCUAUUAUGACAAUGGUGAUCGUACAGUGGUAUUGGCGUUGGUGGGGCAAUGAUGAUGGUGAUGCUGAUAAGAAUGGUUGAGUGAUGGUGAUGAUGGUGACAUGAUGCAGGUAGGCAUAAUGGGGUUGGCAGUCAUGGUGAUAGUUGCACUCAUGGUUUAAUAUUGAUACAUAAUAAUCGGCAUUUUCUGAUAUGGCCAAUAAUUGGUAAUGGACCAAUUAACUUGAUGCUAUUUGGUGUAUAACUUUUUAAAUAUUUUUCUAUUGAUUUUGAGUAGUUCUGUUUGGUAAAUUGCAUUAGCAGUCUUUUAAAACCAAAACUAACAACCUGAUGCAUUUUAGUGAAGAAAAAGAGACGGUUCGAACUUGGAAGAGCUUUCUCUAUGACAGUCGAAAAUCUUCUUUUUAAGUUUAUAUAUAUAAAGGCUAAUGGGAAGAGUACUGUCGGUUUACCAAAAAUCUUUAUGCAUUAUGUUUUCUUUCAAUUCUUAUUCUUCUUGGUUUAAGAUCAAGAAUGAUAGUUGACGAUGCCGCUUACAUUUUCUUCCAUAGUAUUAAAACAUGCUACUGGAGAUAAGGCGGUUAGAGCUGAAGCAUUUUCCAAAAUGUUGUUUGGAAUGCUUCUCCAACUUUGAUAUGCUUGAAAGGUCUUUUUUUCUCUGUUUGGUUGUGAAUAAUUUCUUUGGUCGAAUGAUUAAUCCUGGACUGGUUCAACUUUGCCUAAUCUGUUAUGUCAUUAAAAAUAUUCAAACAUUAUAGUUUUAGAAGAUGCAGUCGUUGUACAUUUGUAUAUUCUUUCUUUAUGAUGGACUUGCUGAGAAACUUUGAGGAGUUUGGGAAUGCCUAAUCUUUUAUGUAGUCAAUAGUGAUUAUCUUGCACAUUUAGUGACAGACAGAUGCUACUUUAACUGGGUUAAUUGUGUUUUAUUAACUUGUUUCAGGUUUGUCUUUGGUUCUGGCAAGGAGGAUAUUUUAGGACGCCAUGAUGCUCCUGUCCGUUGUGUUGAAUACUCUUAUGCAACAGGUACAAUCAAUGCUCUAACUUCUAGCAAUUAGCUAUUUCAUUCUUGAUUUGGGACUUUGAGGACUGAAAAGGCAGAUCAUCACUAUUUCAUGUUAUUAUGUUCCUAUCGAGGUUCCACGCAUGAAAAGAUGACUGAUAGGUUAGGUUGGUAAUGAAGAUGUUAAGACAUAUCAUGUUAUCUGUCAUAUUCAAAAUUCUAGCACACUUAAUUUGAGUGGUGGAAUGUUUUGGAUGCCUAUGACUAGAUCCUAUUAUGUGGUUCUAAAAAAGUUGUUCUUUUUAGUAGCUUUAAAGAAUUGAAGCGCCAUAUUAAUAGAUGAUAUUGAUGAUAUUUUGUACUCAUACAUUCUUCUAAUGGGAUGAUUCAGAUUGACUAUGCUCAUCCUUUGAUUUAAAGAGAGAGAAAAAAAAGGAAAAGAUGCACAAUCAUUUACAUGAUUUUCCCUGAAGGAUACUUUGGCACAUUAUUUUCCAAGGUUAGGUUGGUAACGAGGAUGUUAAUACAUAUCAUGUUAUCUGUCAUAUUCAAAAUUCUAGCGCACUUAAUUCGAGUGGUGGAAUGUUUUGGAUGCCUAUGACUACAUCCUAUUUGAUGGUUCUAAAAAAGUUGUUCUUUUUAGUAGCUUUAAAGAAUUGAAGCGCCAUAUUAAUAGAUGAUAUUGAUGAUAUUUUGUACUCAUACAUUCUUCUAACGGGAUGAUUUAGAUUGACUAUGCUCAUCCUUUGAUUUAAAGAGAGAGAAAAAAAAGAGGAAAAGAUGCACAAUCAUUUACAUGAUUUGCCCUGAAGGAUACUUUGGCACAUUAUUUUCCAAGGAACAUAAUCAUUAAUCACUUAUUUUGUGUCGUACUCUUGGAUUAGUCAGUAUUUGCUUCUCUUUAAAUUUAGAAAUCAUUGAAUACUUUUCAUAGUGGCCAGGCUGCAUUGUCUAAUUGAUCAUCUAGUACAUUGUUUUGAAUUUGUAUUUCCUCUUGCCUAGUACUCAGCAGAAGAGUUAAAGAAGGUAAAAAUGGAUACUAUUACUUUACUAAUUGAUUGCUGGAAAAUAUAUAUGAAUAUAAAUGGAUGAUUAGUUUUGUGAUAAAAUUUGCUCAAGUAUAACUGGUUCUUCCAUGAACGUAAUUUAGGAUGAGAUAUUAACCAUUGCAUGAAUUGGUUAUGUCAUUUGGAUGCAUUAACUACUAUUUUUCAGAAAUGGCUACAAUUCUUUUUCAUAUUUUUUAUGAUGCAAAUUUAGAGGGUAGAUGCUGAUUAAACUACUUUCAGUUAUAAUUGUAUGCUCUUGCGCAAAGGUCAUCAUGGUACUUAUUGAUGUUUACUGAUUUACUCAAACUUCAUUAGAGUUGCACAUCCAUUAUGCAUUAUCUUUAAUAAAUAAUAUGAAAUAGCUGGAGGGAAAUUAAAUUUUAGAAUUAUGUUAUAUUGCAUUUUGGUGGAAAAUGUCAAAAGUCAAUCUAACAGAUAAAAGGGAUAUAAAAGAAAACAAGAAUAAUUACUCUAAGAUUUAGCUUUGUCUUCUUUUGUUUUUUUUGCCUUUCAGUUGCUUCUUAGUUUGUCUCUGAUCACAUCUUUUUUCCUAAAUGAGAGGCAUGUUCAUUGAUUAUAAUAAGAUCUAAUCACAAUGGCAUCAGAAAUAUAGCAAAAGCACAUAUCUAAACAAUAGUUGAUAUUAGUGAUAAUCAAAAUUCAAAAUAUCUUAAAUUACAAGCUGAAGUUAAUGAGCAUGGGUUAAUAUCAAUUUUAGUGCAAAUUGUGGGUUCUUAUUGUUGAGUCUUUUUCACUGUCAGUCUGAAGCCUGGGAAAAGGAGAGUUGCUUUAUGUAGCUGACAGUCAGCUUAAAACUUUGGGCUAGUUGUAACUUUGGUAGAAGAUAAGAUGUGGGAAAAUCUUUUAAGAUGCUGAACAUAUCCAAAAGAGACCCAUAUGUACUCUGCUAGACGAGAUAACUUGAUUAAGAGGAGGGAGAUUGAAAAGAGCUUAAUUAGAAACUAUGAAGAGAUAUGAUUAUUUGUAAUUUGACCAACUGGUUUGAUUAUGGCUUAAAGGGAAGGGGGGAGGAAUAUUCAUGUAGCUAAUCCUAAAAAAUUAGAACAUUGUGGCUUACCAUUGUUGUUCUUCUGCGAGUUGGCAUUACAAAAAUGUUUAAUAAGAUAAUACUAAACAAAUGCAAGGAUUAUAAUUUGGGGAGGCUGAGUUAAGGUACAGUCAGUUUAAGGCAAUGUGAGAUAUCUACAUCUCAAUCCAAGUGUGACUAAACCUGACUAAAGUCACAAGACUCACAACAGCCAAAAUGGUCAGGUCUGGUUGGGUUAGAUCACCAGCUUUCGAUGAAAUCUGAUUCUCUGGUCCUACACAAGACUAAAAGGUAGGAAAGACUGAAUUCUGGACAUGUCAGCUUGGUUGGUUUAGCAAACCUGUGUACUGACUUCUCAUGGGAGACGUGGUGAUGUCUUAUGUAUAAUUUCAUUUGAAUGGAAAUUUGUGUCAUCUAUACCUCAAUCCUAGUUAUUAUGUCCUUAAAUUUAUGAUGCAUCUUGAUUGUUUAUUUGUUUGUAUCAUCUAAGGCCAAGUAAUUACUGGAAGUUGGGACAAGACACUGAAAUGCUGGGAUCCUAGAGGUGCAAGCGGCCCAGACCAUGCACUUGUUGGGACAUAUCCACAACCUGAACGAGUGUAUUCUCUUUCCUUAGUUGGUCAUCGUUUAGUAGUUGCUACUGCAGGAAGGCAUGUGAAUGUCUAUGAUUUGCGCAAUAUGUCUCAACCAGAACAACGAAGGGAAUCAUCAUUAAAAUAUCAAACUAGAUGUGUUCGUUGCUAUCCCAAUGGCACAGGUGAAGCUUUUAUGUACUAAUAAUUUAUUUUUUCAGCUAUCUUCAUAAAUUUGUAUCUUACAUGUUAUUAAUUAGUAGUUGAUGUAUACGUAUGUGAAACUGCUAUAUUUUUGUGGCAUUGUUGUCAGGGCUUAUAGCGUCUAAAGCAUCUUACGAAUGUGCACCUAGGGGGCUUCAGUUACUUUUGUGGCAUAUAUUUAAUGUUAUUUAGUCUCUCUGCCAACAAAAUUUUGGAGGUGGAUCGAUUUGGUGGAUCACUGGUCAUUGCAGACUUUAAACAUUUCCCGGAUUAAGCAAUGUGAUAUAUGAACAAGGGAUAUUUGCUGAACCUCUAACAUUUCUAGAAACACAUUGCUCAACAUUUCUUGAAAUCAUUAAAUUGAUUCUUCUCCAAUGCAUUUCCAUUUUAAGGUGGUUUCAAAGAUUGAUGGGACCAGUGUGCAUCGGCUGGUAUUUACUGAUAUGGUGAAGGAUCGGUAUUUGACCAUGUAGCUUGAUACUAGUCAGCAUUCAUCUUUUUAACAUUUUUAUUGAUACCAGGUGGUAUCCAGUUUGACAUGGUGUUGAAACUGGUUUCAGCCUGAUAUUCUAAACCUUGGUUAAAUUGUCUUGUCUAAUUGCAAAAUAAAUAUGAACAACUGGUCCUUGCAGACUUUAAACAUUUCCCAGAUUAAGCAAUGUGAUAUAUGAACGAGGGAUAUUUGCUGAACCUUAACAUUUCUAGAAACACAUUGCUCAACCUUUCUUGAAAUCAUUAAAUUGAUUCUUCUCCAAUGCAUUUUCAAUUUAAAGUGGUUUCAAAGAUUGAUGGGAGUAGUGUGGUUUCAGCCUGAUAUUCUAAACCUUGGUUAAAUUGUCUUUUCUAAUUGCAAAAUAAAUAUGAAUAACAACCUUCUGGGAAUUUAAUAUUGCACUGAAGUUACAAUUUGUUCUCACAUCCAAUAUAAAAAAUUUGGGCUUCCAUUUUUGGUAACCUGACUAUGUGCAGCAGCCUGUUGGCUUUCUAUCUGCACUUAAAACUUGUUUAAUGUUCUUGCUUCUUAGAAGUUUGUUGGCAUUACUGUGCAUAAUAUUGCAAUUAUUUCAGUGUAUAUGUUUCUUUCUAAUUCGUCCCUUUGGUCAUAACUGUAAAAUGGCCAUUGUCUCAUCAUCAUCUCUCUGUUGAUUAGUAUCAUUAUGAACUUUUGUCAUCAUGCUAUUAUUAUAUCAAUAUGAAAACAUACAUUCUAGAUUAGUUACUGCCAAGUAGUGUCAUUGGUUGAGUGAUUCUUUCCUUUUCCUUUUUUGGUUGCUUUUUAGUGUUACUGAAGUAUGGACCUGUACUUAUAAUAUAAACUCAGAACAUUUCUUCCACAUUUUGAAUGUGAUUUUGGAAGAGUUCAUCCUUAAACAUGAGGCACAAUCUUGGGAUGUUAUCUUUUACCUUUCAUCUUUUACAUUAUUCAGGUUGCAACUUGGGAGUAUAUUAAAUCUGUAUUGAUUCUUUCGUAAGGGAUUUUCCACUGUUUGUUUUCACAAAUGUACCACAUCCUGAAUAUUCAGAAGCUUCCAUAUUGGAGUCAUUUCCUGGCGUUGAGUAGUGUGUUGCACAUGAGAAUCACAACUAGUAUCAAGUGAUUUAAAAAGAUAAUAACACCAAUAUCUAAUUCACACAUGUUCUUAUUAAAAGGAAAACUCAAUAAAUUUUACACUUAUGGGAAAAGGAUGUAUUAUUAUGAUGUUAUUAUUUAUAACAAAGGAAAAACUUAUUCCAGCAAUUUUCUCAAAAGUUCACAAUUUUGCUGUCAAGAAACUAGACCUAGGAUUUGGGAUUAACAUAGUGUUAAGUAACUGUUUCCUCAUUAAUUUAUUAUAUUUAUGCUUUCUUUUCAAGUGGCAAGGAGAUUGUCAUAUUAUCUAAGAAUGAAAUCGUACUAUGGUUAAAGGAUCUCUUGGUUAGUUAUACCAUAUUUCUAUGAUCUGUCUAAUUGACCAGAAAUUAUGGUAGAAAUUGUACUGUUUUUACAUCUUUGGUUUGUUAUUAUCGAGGAAUAUUGUGUAAAAUUCUUGCUAUUUGAUGCAGGUUUUGCUCUUAGUUCUGUCGAAGGUCGAGUAGCUAUGGAGUUUUUCGAUCUAUCAGAGGCUGCUCAAGCGAAGAAGUAAGAUAUUCUUGUGUUCAUAAACAACCCUUAUUCUGUCCGUUUGCAACAUGUUUUUACUAUAUGAGAGGACUUUAGAGGGAAUAAAAAAAUUUACCAUUUUAGUUAAGAUUUUUGUUCAUUUUGUGCUUGGUAGCAUGAAUCUUCCAGAUUGGGUACCCAUUACCUGGGUAUUCAUGGAAAUGUAUGCAUGCACCUACUUUCCUUUCUAUAAGCUUGUGGCUUUCUUCUUUAUGAGUAAUUUCCUCCUGCUGUUGCACCUCAAGCUUCUCUAGAUUCUCUAUCAUGUUAAACAUAUUUCUUUUUCAUAUAGGCAGCACAAGCCUUGAAUCUAACACUGCUGCAGUCAACUACCACAAAUAUUAAAUACUGGAAGCCUUUAUUUAUCCUUGCAGUAGAUCGAUUUAUGUUUUCUGGUUCUAAUGGUAACAUUUCAUGUUGCAAUAAAAAAAUCUACGAGCUCAUGGACUAAUACAUUUUUGGUGUUCAUGAUGACUAGUUUUAGGAUAUUGCUCCUGUGACAUAAUGUUGAUGCUUUAUCAUUUUUAUUUGUGAUAAGUCCUCUGUUUCACUAGACAAUGUUACUUCAGGUAUGCAUUCAAGUGCCACCGUAAAUCGGAGGCUGGGAGGGACACUGUUUAUCCUGUCAAUGCAAUUGCGUUCCAUCCAAUGUAAUCUCUCUACACUGAUUUAAAUGACAAGAGUUGUACAAUUAUAUUGUCAUUUAUAUUUUAUGAUUUGUAUUGGUCAUCAGCUAUGGGACAUUUGCUACUGGAGGUUGUGAUGGUUACGUUAAUGUUUGGGAUGGCAACAAUAAGAAAAGACUUUAUCAGGUAAAAUCUUUUAUUAAAUGGUGAAUGUUUAUGUUGGUGUUCAGAAACUAACAAGGUCCAUAUGUUGUAUUGUUCUGUAGUAUUCAAAAUACCCGACAAGCAUUGCUGCAUUAUCCUUCAGCAGAGAUGGCCGUCAGCUUGCUGUGGCAUCUAGCUACACAUUUGAGGAGGGUGACACACUGUAAGUUAAUAAGAUCUAUUUUAUCACCUUGGCAGUAUGGGAUCUUUUUGAUGUUUUAAUGCCAUUGUGGAAAAAUUAAAAUUGCAGUCAUGAGCCUGAUACCAUCUUUGUCCGGAAUGUAAAUGAAGUAGAAGUCAAGCCAAAGCCCAAGGCUUUACCUGCACCACCUCCAUAACUAUAGUUCUUGCAGCAAGGAAAUUGCACCUUGAAUGGAUAUUUGGAGUGAUGGUUCUGCCUGCGUCAGCUGCUGUCCUUUGAAUGGUUACUAAGCUACUAUGAAUACGAAAAAUCUUGUAAGGAAACCAAAACUUGUGAUUUCUUUCUUUUCUUUUCUUUUCUUUUUUUCUUCAGGCAGUGUUCGAGAGACCAUUUUCCUUGAUCAUCUUGUUGUAGCUAUCUGGAUAAUGAUUGUCAUUAUGUUGCUGGUUUUGAUCCAAUGUUUCACCGUCAAUGAAGUAUGGUCUUCAUUGCUGUUGUUGUUAAGUAGAUCUCCAAUGAUUUUGUACCUGGGUUGUGGGGGUUGGAUCUUAAAUGAUUUUAUUUUUUCGAGGCAUUUUUGGAAGAAGAGUUGUAUUCAACACUUUUAUGUGAUCUUGGUUCUCCUUAAUAAAUUGUUCUAGAGAAAAAUUAGUCAAUGAAAUAUCAUAUUGACUCAUUGGAAAAAAAAAAGUUCCUUCUCGAGGAUAAAUCCGCGAUAUAUAUUGGUGGGAGUCUCAACCUAAUGUGUUAGACAUUAUUUUCUUAGAUGUAACUAUAUUGGUUACAGUAAUAUCCAUGUACAACUACAAUAAUAAUAAAUAUUUUUGUCAUUUUUCGUGACAGGUAUUAUGUUGUUAUCCAAUUUUAAUUUAGAUAACAACAUUUUUACGUGCACAAUAAAAUAAAUAAUCUUUUUCUCGUACGAUUAAUUGGACCAUUAUAAUUGUACACACUGAUCCUCCCUUGACCCACGGAAGCUUUGCAAAUUUAGACAGAAAAAUCAUUUAAUUAAAAUCGGAUUCGGAUCCGGAUCGGACCUAACCUUAGCGGAUCGGAUCGAAUAGGCGCCCAUACCUGACUUAGGUACCACGACUACGUUCCCUUUGUUUCGGCUUCCGCCAAAACCUCCACUUCUUCCUUUAGACGCCCGGCGCUAUAGUUCGCAGGGCGAACGCAACUGCGUUCUUCGUGUCUCCUCCUUCGAUCCCACUUCGUUCUCGAAGGUAUUGUUGCUCACUUGGUGUCUUCCCAUGUAAUUAUUCUUCUUUGUUCCUCCUUAUGUUUUUUAUUUAGGGCAUGGAUCGAUUCUUUCGUUAUCUUUGUAUUGUUUAAUUGCAAAGGAUGGAUUACGAUCGUUGUGGUUUACAGCAUCGAGUGUAGUUGGGUAAUUGAUAGUUUGUUCUGUAUAUGUUCCAGAGUGCAAACACAGCCUUCUCUGUUCGCAAUUUUCCCUUUUAUAUUUUCUUCCUCUGAUUUUUGCGUUCCUUAUCUUUUGAUCACACUAUUAUGUGAUGGAAUUAAACCAACAGAAACUUUAGAGCUUUAUUAGGAUUUAAAUAUGCCUAAUGUUUUUUUUGUUGUGGUUGGUACCUGCAGUUUAACUUUGGGGAUGAGAUUUGUCUCUCACAAUGGACACAAAACAUUCAGCAGAAAUGUUUAAGUAAGUUGAGGGUGCAUAGUUGGAUAUUUUCUAUUACUGUAUUCUUGUGAAUCGUCAAUUCAGUAUGAAUAUGUGUUGUACAGGCAUUUGGAGAAGCAAGGUGAAGUCCUCAUGGAGGCGCAUCGGGCGAUGUCACAUGAGCUACAUCGGCUUCAGGUUUUUCAUCUUUUUAGCAUCUACCAGACUACUAUGAAAUUGGCUGAUUAUUAUGAUCUUGUUCAUGUGAAGGUAGAGGAAGAAAUGCUUAUGCAGAAACUGUAUGAGCUCAUGUAUAUAAAAGGCCUGUUAAAAAAGGUACAUUUGUUUAUCAUAUAUUUCUCAAAAUUUACUACAAAAUUAUAUUGCUGAAGUAGUAUGUUAAAAUCAAUCAGAUGAAUUUUGGACUCAUCUGGUGUCAUGAAUGAGAGAUAACUCUUUCCUUUAAACUGUACUUGUUCUCAAUUUUCGGUUAUAUUCUUAUAGCAAUUUGUCCAUACCAGUAUUUUAGUAAUGGAGUUCCAGUUUCUGAUUCUUAAUUAUGAAAGUUUGUUUAUAACUUUGAGAUUGUCUCUCUUGUAAAACAUCAAUUUCGUGUCAUAUUGAAUUUUUGUCAACAACAAUCAAAGAAGAAUUUAUCUUUUAUUGUCAUUUUCAUAACUUCUUUUCAAUUCAACAUGUCCAAGUCAUCGUUUAGAAUUUCCAUCUAAUUCUUUUAACGACCAAGUUACAACAUAAUUUUGAGGCUUUUACAUAUUUUUUCUCGCAUCUAGAAAUCUGUUGUUGGUUCAAAUAUGAAAUGUAUUUUCCACAAUCAUAUCCGGAAGAAUAUUUGUUAAGUGUGCUUCAAUUUAGAUCAUUAUUGCAUUAAAGUUUUACAUUAAAUCAAAAAAUUGCUAUGGAAAUACUGUUUAUUUAUGUGAAUUGAAACUAAAAGGAACUGCACUUAAAUUGGAAGUAUACACAGCAAAAUUAUAAGAUAUGAACAGUCACAUUAAAGUGUUUUGUUGUGCUGUAUACACAUGGAACAAUUAAUCCUUGGGCAAUGUAAUCUAUGACACAAUUAUCCUAUAAGCAUGGACAAUAUGCAUAGACCUAAAAGACUCAGCUACUGUUAGGUAUUAUUGCACAAAGCUUCAAAUCUUCACGGUAGCAUCCUUUCACUUCCUUAAAAUGUGAAUCGUAAUCAGUGGAUCUGUCACCAACAUAAUCCUGCGGCAAUGACCUUUCAUGAACUGACCUUUUCAUCACACAACUGGUUCUCAAGAAAACAUUCUUCAAUAGAUUAUAUAAGCGAAGUUCAUCUCUCUGUCUACGGAGAUAUUGAAUGGUUCUUAUUUUCUUAUGCAGGAAAAGAGAGGAGACAAUGAUUCAAGUAUAGAUGCAAAUAAAUCAAUCUAGACAAAUUGGUACACAGUGUAAGCAAUCUUGAUUCUAUCACAAAUCUCAGUGCUUGUGUUCUCUGUGUUAGAACUGAGAUGCUAUUAUCAGUUCCUCAUUUCUGUUUGUGUAGUUUGGGGAGUCGUUCUUCAUGAUGAUGGUUGGAUUGGAUGAGAUCAAGAAGCUUAACAAAACAUGUAUCUACAUUGCAAUGUUCAACCACAGUGAAAGAGGCUUUAUAGAAACAAAACCAUUUGUCAAAGAGCUAUCCAAAGCAGAUUAAAUCUCGAUAGAAACAGCUACAGCUCAGUGUUUUUACCUUGUUCUGGGAACACAUUUUUUCUUUGUACAUAACAGAGAGAGAGAAAUUUUACUGAGAUCCAAGUAUUUUAUGCUAAUAAAGUGAAGUUUAGCACAUUUAUUUGCUCACAAGCAAUUCCACUGACAAGUUAGUCAUCUUGACCAGGAAGGGUGCUUUUAUCCUAAUCCAGGCUUACAAGCUGAGAUCUCUUAUGGGUAAAUUCAUGAAAUGCACAUUGGUCGCUUCAGAACACAAGCUGUAAGCUCUUUUCAGUUCAUUGCUGUUUGUCCUCAAAAUUUUCCCUAUUGAGUAACAUGCAAUUGCUUGCCUCCUACUUAGAAUGCAGCUGGAAAUUCAAGCUACUACUGCUCCUGUUCUCGAGAUUGGACAUUGGACCAUCUCAAGACCUUUUGAGUUGACCUGAUCCAUCACUUUCUCAGUUGACCUCGCAAACAAACAAGAGAGUUCUUCCCAAGACUAGACUUGUACAGUAAGUCCCAAGAAAUUUCUCAUGUUUGGGAUAAAAAGGUCCACAAGAAAACAAAAUAAUCAUAAAAAUAACGAUAAUAAUCGAUCAUGAUUAUGAGUCAAGAUAUAUUGAUUUAUAUCCUUUCAUCUCAUUCCCGAGUAUCAAUUUUGGUCUUUAUAUAUCCCUCGAAUGUAUUAAAGAUAUAUUAUAAUAAUAAUAAUUUGGGUCUCCGUUGGCCCCAAAUUAAUUGGUUCCCGGCCCGUGCAUAUAAUUUUGAGUUGAUCUGAUUUGACUCCACAAUUCCUGGUCGCUUCCUCCAAAUGCAUGGAAACUAUGCCACCACUCCCCCUCCCGUCAGUAUAUUUCGGAUCGACGUCUCUUUCCCCUUCUUCCUACCUUCCUCCUUCCCUCCUCCCUCCUCCAUGAACUUUAUUCUUCACCUUCCUUUCUCCUCCUACAUCGCAGUCUUGUCGUAGAAACCGCGAAGAAGUUUUGAGCUUUUGAGGCCUUUAUUGGAAGCGAGCCCUUCACUCGGGACUUGGCUACAAGUAGCCACUGGAGAAGAGGAAGAAGAGGAGGAAGGGGCCGAGGAGGCAGGAUGGAGAGCUACCUGAACGAGAACUUCGGUGGGGUGAAGUCGAAGAACUCGACGGAGGAGUCGCUCGAGCGAUGGCGGAAGCUCGUCGGCGUCGUCAAGAACCCCAAGCGCCGCUUCCGCUUCACCGCCAACCUCUCCAAGCGCUCCGAGGCCGCCGCCAUGAAGCGCUCGAACCAUGUACGCGUACACCCCCGCUUUACAUUCUCGAUCGUGGUUGGCACUUUGUUAGAGCUGAAAUUGACAUAACCUGUUUCAUCCAUCAUCUUAAGCUUUUAAUUUGAUGUGUAACCAUGAAACUUUACAUGAUAUGGCCAUCUUGCUAGCCCACAUCUUGAUAGUCCUUGUCUAAUUCGUAUCAUUCAUGUUUCACUUCUGUUUUUGACUCUGUUUAGGGUUGAUUUCAGAGUUGCCACAUAAUCAUGCAUUUAUUUAGAUAUUCUUUUUAGAGAACAGUAGAAAUAAAUUUUUUUUUCAUGGUUUAGCUCCUAAAAGUGAAAAAGUCUUUUAGGUUUAAUGUUGCAACAACACCUCUAAUAAUCAUCCUAGAUUAAUUUCCUUGGAAGCAUCCUUUUCCUGAGGUUGCUGUAUGGCUGCAGUUGAUCUGAGCUUUACAAGCCGAUCCACAAGCGUGGCUUGAAAUUAAUCUGGGGCCUAGAAGAAGAUCAAUAUUUGGUUGUUGUAUGGUUGAUCGAGUUUAGUUUCAAACCAAGCUGAGUUGAGCCUGUAUCAAAGAGCUCGUUAGUGAAAACCAUGCUUCGCCCAUACCUCCCAUGAGCCUCAGUUAGGUUUGCUUUAGUUUAUUUAAUUGAUCUUUAUUACUUAUAUACAUUAACUUUUCAAUGAUGAAAGAUAAGUGUUUUUUUAUAAUAACUUAAAAGGUACAUGCAACAAAACACAUAAAAUAGAAAUUACAGUUGGGAUGCUACUUUGUGAUCUUUGGCGACUAGAAUUUGAAUCAUGAAAACAACCUCUUUGCUUAAAAGGGUGAAACCACAUAUAUUAACUCAUCCCAAAGUCCUCAUCGUUAGGUGCUUGUGCUUUGGUACAAUUACUGAAAUAGAAUUUUUAGAUGAUAUGUAAUAUACCUAGUCAUAAUAUUUUGUUUUAAGAAUGAGUCGUAUCAAUUUUUUUAUAUCAACAAAUCCUUUACUAUGAGAGCUUCCUUACCAGUGUUAUACAUUUUGUCUUAUGAAAAUUGCCUCAUGUGUUAAAAGAACUACAAAACCAACAAACAUAAAAGAACUUAUUGAUUUCUGAGUCAACUACAUCAUCCAUCCAUUACAACCAUUUUGAUGUAAUUCGAGGAUAUAUACAUGUAAUACACACAUAUGGGCUGGCAUGCAAACACAAAUACAAAGACAGACACAUAUAUUUGAGCCAAUUCUAGUCUGAUCAGGCAUAGCUAUGUUCAAGCCUGAACCAUGCUUGAAAUUAAUUUCUAGUCUAUAGUGUCGUUGAGGAUCAUCUUGUGUAUACUCAAACCAAGCUUAAUUACUGGCCCUAGACUUCAGUUGUGCUUUCUGUCCUUCAGUUGAUAUUGCUGAUAGAAUAUUUCAUUUGACAUACUCCAAAAGUCAAUGAACCUAAUUAUUCUACUUUGCUUGCUGAAACUUGAUGAACUUCAAAUCGUUGUACACAUCUUCAGUCCUUGCUUGUUGGAUUUAGAAUACUAAUCCCUUACAAAGAGACUUAGCUCCAUAUCUGCAUGGUCACUGACUGUAGCAGUGAGAGAUAUGCUCCAACCUAUAUAAUGUUGCCCGUUCACUAUAAGUCUGGCAUUUAUUUUAUGUACAACAAUUUUCUUUCUCCAUAGGGAGACUGAUUAGUUAUUUUUUCUUUUCCAGGAGAAAUUGCGAGUAGCUGUUUUGGUUUCAAAAGCCGCAUUGCAAUUUAUUCAUGGUAAUCCGUUGUUGAUACUGAGAUGUAGUUUUAAAGUUGGCAUGGUGACAUAGUUUCUUUUCUUGGCUUCAAAGAUGUUUUUGUUUCUACAAUCUUUUCUUACAAUUUUGCAUUAACAAAUGUGUUUAGGUAUCGCAUUGCAUAGUGAGUACAUUGUGCCUGAUGAAGUGAAGAAAGCAGGCUUCCAAAUUUGCCCUGAUGAAUUGGGUUCCAUAGUUGAAGGCCAUGAUGUGAAGAAGUUGAAAGUCCAUGGUGGUGUUAAUGGUAUUGCGGACAAACUUUCAACAUCAACAACAAAUGGACUAAUUGCUACAGAGGAGAGUUUGAAACACAGGCAAGAUAUUUAUGGAGUAAAUAAAUUUACUGAAAGCCAGGUUCGGAGUUUUUGGAUAUUUGUUUGGGAAGCACUUCAAGACAUGACUCUCAUAAUUCUUGCUGUGUGUGCUUGUAUAUCCCUUAUUGUUGGCAUUGCCACAGAAGGAUGGCCAAAAGGUGCACAUGAUGGACUUGGCAUUGUGGCUAGCAUACUGUUGGUUGUCUUUGUUACUGCAACUAGUGAUUACCGACAAUCUUUACAGUUCAAAGAUUUGGAUAAGGAGAAGAAGAAGAUAUCUGUACAGGUUACACGUGAUGGCUUCAGACAGAAGAUUUCAAUAUAUGAUCUUCUUCCUGGUGAUCUAGUGCAUCUUGCAAUUGGAGAUCAAGUUCCUGCUGAUGGGUUAUUCAUGUCUGGAUUUUCCUUAUUGAUCAAUGAAUCCAGUUUAACAGGAGAGAGUGAACCUGUCAAUGUGAAUUCUGACAAUCCAUUUCUUUUAUCUGGAACUAAAGUCCAAGAUGGAUCUUGUAAAAUGCUAGUAACUACAGUUGGCAUGAGAUCACAAUGGGGUAAGUUGAUGGCCACCCUUAGCGAAGGAGGAGAUGAUGAAACUCCAUUGCAGGUCAAACUGAACGGAGUUGCCACUAUCAUAGGGAAAAUUGGCUUGGUAUUUGCAGUUGUGACAUUUGCAGUGCUUGCUGAAGGACUAAUCAAACAUAAGUUUCAACAUGGUUCAUACUUGAGCUGGUCAACAGAUGAUGCAUUAGAGUUGCUGGAGUAUUUUGCUGUUGGAGUCACUAUUGUAGUGGUUGCAGUUCCUGAAGGAUUGCCUUUAGCUGUAACCUUGAGCCUUGCUUUUGCCAUGAAAAAGAUGAUGAAUGACAGAGCACUGGUCCGCCAUCUUGCUGCUUGUGAAACUAUGGGUUCAGCUACAUCUAUUUGCAGUGACAAGACAGGUACAUUGACAACCAAUCACAUGACUGUUGUGAAAGCUUGCAUAUGUGGGAAUAUCAAGGAGGUUAAUAAUCAUGAAGAAAUAAAACAUGUUUGCUCCCAGGUUCCAGAUGUUGCUCUAAAAGUACUCAUGCAAUCCAUCUUUUAUAACACUGGCGGUGAAGUUGUUAUCAACCAAGCUGGAAAACUUGAAAUACUUGGAACGCCAACUGAGACUGCUCUGUUGGAAUUUGGAUUGUUACUAGGUGGGGAUUUCCAGGUUGCACGUCAGGAGACCAAGAUUGUCAAAGUGGAACCAUUUAAUUCUGAAAAGAAGAGAAUGGGAGUGGUUCUCCAGCUUCCAGGAGGAGGAUACAGAGCCCAUUGUAAAGGUGCUUCAGAAAUUAUAUUGGCUGCUUGUGAUAAGGUUUUAGAUUCUGCAGGUAACACUGUCCUGCUUGAUGAAUCAACAUUCAGUCAACUCAAGAGUACUAUAGAAAGUUUUGCCAGUGAGGCUCUCCGUACACUGUGCCUUGCUUACAUGGAAAUUGAGAAUGGUUUCACAGCUGAUGAACAAAUCCCUAUUAAUGGAUUCACUUGUAUUGGAAUUGUUGGCAUCAAAGAUCCUGUUCGUCCAGGUGUAAAAGAUUCGGUUGCAAUUUGCAGGUCUGCCGGAAUUACUGUGAGAAUGGUUACAGGGGAUAACAUAAACACUGCAAAGGCUAUUGCUCGAGAAUGUGGUAUUCUUACUGAUGAUGGGGUUGCUAUUGAAGGUCCAGACUUCAGGAGUAAGAGUCUGGAGGAAAUGAUGGAUUUAAUACCAAGACUUCAGGUUCUAUUUCUCAUACAUUAUCAUUAAAAACAUUCUUUUGAUUAGUGGAUUUUUUUUUUCUUAUUAUCUCUCUAAUAUAUUAACUUACCAGGUGAUGGCUAGAUCGUCACCAAUGGAUAAACAUACCUUGGUGAAACAUCUGCGCACCAUGUUCAAUGAAGUUGUUGCUGUGACUGGUGAUGGCACAAACGACGCUCCAGCACUUCACGAGGCAGAUAUUGGGCUUGCAAUGGGAAUUGCAGGAACUGAGGUAGUGUUUGUGACAUAUCCAAGUUAUAGAUAUUAAUUGUUUUGGUACUGUGGAAAUUAAAGUAGUAUUUUUUUUUUUCUGACCUAGUAUUUAAGCACAUUGCUUUUGGUGGAGCAUGUAAGAUAAGUGUCCAUGCCUUUUGGUGUCCACCUAUUUCUCAUGGUAGGAUCCAAGAAGGGUCAAAGUAUGUUGUCUUAUUUUUGUUAAAAAGGUCUUUUUAUGACUUGGGCCUUGAUUACGCUCCUAAAUUACAUAUUCAUAAUCUUUGAUAAAUUUAGUUGUGCCGUAGCUUCAUAAGUUCUCUUUGUUUUGGUUCAACUAUUUAUGGUCAAGGAGCCCAGUUACUGUUAAUGCCAUAAAUUGCAGUAUCUCUUAGUCUAUUGCAUAGUUGAGUUUUAGUUAAUCUUAUCAUGAAUUUGUUCGCAAAAUACUGUGAUAUGCAGGUGGCUAAAGAAAGUGCUGAUGUUAUUAUUCUUGAUGACAACUUCUCAACUAUUGUAACUGUGGCAAAAUGGGGACGUUCAGUGUACAUAAACAUUCAAAAGUUUGUGCAGUUUCAGCUGACUGUUAAUGUUGUUGCUUUAAUUGUAAACUUCUCCUCAGCCUGCAUAACCGGUAAAGUUAGCCCUUUUAACGGUAUCAAGUUCCGGUGUACCUCAAAAUUCUCUCUCAUUGUUCUUUUCAUUUGCCUGUUCUGUAUUAGGACAUGCUCCGCUAACUGCCGUUCAACUGCUCUGGGUGAACAUGAUUAUGGAUACACUUGGGGCACUCGCAUUAGCCACUGAGCCACCAAAUGAUGAAUUGAUGAAAAGAUCUCCUGUUGGAAGAAAAGGCGGUUUUAUUAGUAACACAAUGUGGAGGAACAUCCUAGGACAAGCCUUGUACCAGUUCAUUGUGAUAUGGUAUCUCCAGAGAGAAGGGAAAGGGCUGUUUCAACUUGAGGGCCCUGAUUCUGAUCUUGCACUAAACACUCUUAUUUUCAAUUCCUUCGUCUUUUGUCAGGUAAACUCACAAAUUUCAUGUUUAUUGUUCUUUGUUUUACUACCUGUUUGAAAGAAUAUGAUAAAUACUAAAAGACAUUGUCCAUAAUUUUUAUUUUAUGAAACAAAUUCCUGAUUUCUUCAGCACAUGAGAUAAACCUGCAUAUGGAAAACUAACUUUUAGCAUUUUUAUACCAUAAUUUAAGAACCAGUUGUCUGUAAACUGCUAUUUAGAUGAACAGUCACUCUAAUUCAGACGAGGACCUCAUUUUGGACCCAAGAGCUUCCGUAUCAUCUACAUGCUUGAAAGACAUGAAAAUGGAUGCGGCUGUUGAUACACCAAUGUGGUUGACUAUAACUUUAUCAAUAAACUUGACAAAAUUAUUUUAGUUGGGUCUGCACCAUGUAUUAUGUCAGUCAUUUUAAUUGGAUAUAGAACGUAUCUUUUCAAUUAUGCAAAAGACUUGUGCAGCAUCUUUUAUAUCAUUAGAGGCCAAAAAGUGACGUAACAUACCAUUCUCAAAAUCUCGAGUCAAUCUGAACUUGGGAGCUUGUCAUGCAGGUAUUCAAUGAGAUCAGCUGCAGAGAAAUGGAAAAGAUCGAUGUGUUCCAUGGCAUAUUGGAGAAUUAUGUAUUCGUGGCUGUCAUCACCUGUACCAUCAUCUUCCAGUUCAUAAUCGUUCAGUUCCUUGGAGAAUUCGCGAACACCACUCCGUUGACUUUAUAUCAGUGGUUUGCCUGUGUGUUCAUUGGGUUUCUUGGUAUGCCUAUUUCUGCUGCCAUCAAGAUGGUUCCUGUGGGUUCCAAGUAAGGAAUCAGAGUCUUAGGAGAUUUCCCUAAUCAUCUAACAACAGAUUUUUGUGUGUCAAUAGCUAUCUCCAUGGAUUUUGUAAUGUUGUCGAUUGUAGAGGAUACCAUGGAGCCAGUUGCAAGAACAUUCUAUUAGAACAUAACUGUCUUUUCGAUGCUUUUUUUUUCUCUUAACCUUUAUGGCAGAGGCAACUGUUUUCUUCAAAGAGCAAUUUGAUGUGAAUUCAAGGAUGUAGUCCUCAAAACUGAUUGUAUCAUAUGUGGAAUGCAUGCUUUCAAUAGGUAAAUGUUUGGGAUGUAUAUAUCUUCGUAUGAAAGUGACAAAUGUAAGUAGUAAUGUCUUAACUAUUUAUGAUCGUUUUCCGUCAUUGAAUUCUAUAUAAAAUAAUAUUUUUAUAUAAAUAAAAUAUAUUUAAUUUUUUAUUUAUAAUUUUUAUGAUGUAAAAGUCUUAUUUACGUAUGAUAAUACUCAGAAUUCUAGGAAUCUUAUCCAAUAGCACAGCUCUUAUUCUCGAUACAUGGCAUCAAAUCCGAGCUGUUGCCAACCCUCCUCCCUCUCCAUUCCAUCCGCCUGUGUUUUCCUUCUCGACUUGUUUCCUCUGUUUUGGUAUUCCUUCCAUUACCAUUAAAAUGCACGCUCUUACCGCCACCAAAACCGCGAAAGGCAACUGUCAACCGUUUCCCUUCUCCCAUCUUCUCCCAUAACGCUCUCUCUCUCUCUCUCUCUCUCUCUCUCUCUCUCUCUCUUCGUCGCCAAUGGCGUCGCUGAGCCCCGGCGUCCUCCUCAGGCUCCUCCAAGACGACAAAUCAUCCUCCAACCCCCCACGCCGCCCGCUCCACGCCACCCCGGCCGUCCUCCAGAUCACCGGCAUCGUCCCCGCCGUCGCCGGCCCAGACCUCUGCCCCGACAAAGGCUUCUACAUCAAGGUCUCCGACUCCUCCCACUCCAUCUACGUCUCCCUCCCUGCUGACCUCAACGACCUCAUCCUCGCCGACCGCCUCCAGCUCGGCCAACUCAUCCAGGUGCGCCGCCUCGAGCCCGCCUCCCCUGUUCCCGUGCUCCGUGACUUCCGCCUCCUCGCCGGCCGCCACCCCUGCCUCCACGACACCGUCGACCUCAUAUACGCCGCCCCGGCUGCUUCUUCGAGCGCCACCCCUCCUCUGCCCCCACCCGAGAAGAAGAAGCGGCAGCUGCAUUCGAGGUCCCACUCGAGCGUGGGGGACCGGAUCAGCGAGGUCGGCAUGAGCUCCCCGUCCUUCGCCCCUUCGCCCACGAACCGAGCGGCGAAGAGACGAGAGAGGAGGAGCUCGGACGCCCUGCACGAGCUGCAGAAGUUUACCGUUCCGUGCAUGGAUGAAGAUACCUACGACUCCGACGACUCGAGAUUCUCCUGCACUUCGUCUCCCGCGUCGUCGAGAUUCUCUUACGCCUCGUCUUCCUUCUCGUCGCCGUCUCCCUGCACGACGAAGGCGAGGAAAAGCUGGCACGCCUCAGGGAGGAUCACCGAGCGGAGAAGAGAGGCGAAACCCACAGUUCAGAGUCGAAGCGCAAGUGUAAGCUUAGCAGCUGCCAUUCCUUCUCCUCAUCCCCUGAAGAACUCUGUCGAUUUGCUGCGAAAUGAUUGAUUGCUCUGCUCCAUGACCUUGAUAGGUUUCUCCGAGUAGGUUAGCUCACCAUGCAAGGUUGAUGCCGAAAGAUGAUGCACCAGCAGCUUUCCAAAGAAACACCGAGAAGGCUCUCAAAGUGCUUGGUAAUUCCGGUAAGUGGAAGCUCCCUGGUUCAGAUAAAGCAAGCACAGAAAUCUCUUCCACGACGACGACCUCCUUCUGCUCAUCGGAUGGCGGCGUCCUCUGGGCUUCGCUGCCUCCAAACUUGAUGAGGCAUGGGAAGGUACUCCAUUCACUAUAUGUCUUUCUCCUCGAGAUGUCAGUGAUGACCCCAUGGAUUGAUUCACUUGUGCAGGAGGUCGUAAGGCAGCGAGAUUCAUCACUGCAAGCUGCCAUCGACGCGUUGCUGGAGGCAUCUGCCGCAGAUAAACUGAUCGAGUGCUUGAGGCAAGUGAGCAUUAGAUUUCCAGAAGUUGAGAGUCUCUGUAAACAUGUCAUGUGUGUUUUUUACUUGGCAUUUGCAGCACGUACUCAGAGCUGCAGUCCGACAAGGAUGGCGAUCCACAGCUCAUGGUCAACAGGUUCUUGAACUUUCACCAUACGCUGGGGCAGACCAGAUUAAUCGCUCAGUCAUUAGAAAGAUCGACCCAGCCGAGUUCAUGCAACUACAACCCUGCUUCGGCCAGAUCAGUGGGCAAGGUUGCAGCAGAGAGAAAAAGCUGCGCCACCUCGUGGGUCAAAGCAGCUCUGGAGUCGGAUCUUGUACGAUUCCCCACGCAGGUAAAGGCUCUUCCUGAGACUUCGGAAGCACCACCAAGUCAUGGAGGAAGAACAAAGAAUAGUUUGGCCAAGGGGAGCAGCCUGCUGCUGGCGUCGAACACAUUGCAGCACGAGUACAACAGAUGGUUUCUGAGAUACAUCGACAAGUUUCUGGAUUCAAUCCAGAGCAAAACCGGAUACGAUGGAUGCGAGCUGGAAGUGGCAGGUUUGCUGUGCCAGUUAAAGCGAGUCGAUGGCUGGUUAAACAGCAUCACCAGCAAGGAGAUCAGCUCCUGGCCGAGGGACAGACUCAGAGAUGGCGUGCUGUCGGAGGAGGACGAAGCUGAAGCAUGCGAGAGAGUGCGAAGGAAGAUAUACAACGUGCUUCUGCGGCAUGUGGAGAGUGCUGCCAUUGCUCUGGAAAGCAUGAGCACACCUGAUGAGGAGCAAGACAGGGAGCUGAUGCUAAGUUCGUAGCAGAACCAGCAUGAGCAAGACAGGAAGAUUAAUCGGUACAACAUGUUGGCUUUUGUUGCCUGUGAUGGUCUCUGUCUCCUGAUCUUUCAUCCAAACAAGACAGACAUCUGGAUCAUUAAUUCACUUCAUUCUCUACAUGAAUCUGCAUGCUGUUAAUGAUGGUAACAUGAUGAGGAUGAGAAGAGAGAAGAUAAUUCCAAAGAAUUUAUGAGAGUAGCAUGAUUCUUAGCACAUUGAGCCUCUUGUCUCUUCAUUCGGGCUUGCCUCAUGAAUUCUCUCCUAAACAAUAAAAGAGAACCAUCUUCAUCCAGGAAGCUUCAUUUCAACCUCUUCUUAGUUCCUGGCAAUACAAGCUACUGUAGAAUGAAUGCAGUGAUCCUAACAUACGGAGGGUGUUAAUAUAUAAUAGAACUAAUUAGAUUCUGAUGAUAAAUAUUGAUUAAUAAAAAAAUAUAUUAUAACAUGAUUCCUUAGGAGAUAUGAAAGAGUUUUUCUAUUAAUUUAUUCUAGACUCUCUUCUCUCAUCUAUAAAUAGACAGGAUUUUUAGGGAUUUAAGAACGUAUAUUACAAAGAACACAAUUGAGAGAUUAUAAUUUCUCUCUCAAUUUUCUUAAUCCAUAAAUCUAAAUGAUCGAAUAGAAAAAGAGAAGAAUGAGAGUCUAAUUCUCCUUGACAGUGGUUUUAGAUCUAAAAGUAAUACUCAGAUCACUCACAUAUCUUUUUCAGAUGAUAUUAAAAAAUAUAUAUCAUAAAAUCGAUAUAAUGCUAUUUGAUUUCAAUCCUAAUAUAAAUUUUUUUCAUAUUAUAUAUAUAUAUUAUAAUAGAUUUCAAGCUUAGCCCGAAGAGCAAUGACUCAUACAGACCUCAUGAUUCCAUCACCUCCUCCUGCAAAAGACCUGCACUCUGCACAACGAGAUCUGUCGUCCAUCAAAAGCUACCGGAGAAUCGUCAGCAUCAGAAAUAUUUGAUGUUUAGUUUCAUCAUUUCCAAUCCCCCACCCACCCGACACCCUCUACAUCCCAAAUCUUAUUAUAGAUAACAAAGGUUCCAUGUCCAAAACGAAACUUCCCAGUCAAAAACACACGACAUUGAUGCUUGUCCAUGUCAACUCGUUAUCUCUGCAUUUACGCCUUGCAGAAAACAGAGCAGGAGAGAGACAGAGACUUGUCACUGCUCCACGGUGGACAAUGAACGUAUGGAGACACUUUAGAUUUUGAAUGCCCUCCGACAACAUAGAAAACAGGAUUAGCAGCUUCAUCUUUUCAGAUGUAGAGUGCUUGUCAGGAGACAUACACUGAACCACUCCAUGAAGCAGAAGCUCUCCGACAUCAGUAUCUAUCACUCAUGCUCGUGGCCUAAUUGGAUUAAGAUGCAAUGGAUGGAAGAACACAACAACAAAAAAUAUAGCAGUAGGUGGAUUAGUCUUACCAAAUCUUCCAAUGAACACAGUAUCAGCAAAGAUUUGAUGCUGUCUCUUCUCCAACAAUACCAAGUGUGCCGAUGAAUAGAUUAAAACCCUAGCUGGGAACCUUCCUGCCGAUAUAAAAGACAUUAAGAAAAGAUUUGGUGAGGUUUUAUAUUUCAUGUGUUCUUCUGUACUCCAUUUUGAGCUUGAAUUAAGAAUCCACAUGUUGUCACCAACCUCAACAUCCAACCACUGGAAGAAUUGUUUGGGUUAGAUGAUAGGUAGAUUUAUUUGGAUUCAGUAGACAUUUUGAGUUGAGUUCUGACUAAAGAUAUGUAUGUAUACCUUUGUCAUCCCUAAUCAUAAACAAUGAAAUUAAAUCCUAUGAUACCAAACAACAUAAUCUGUUCAUAGGUCUUAAACCACAUGAUUCAAAGUAUUUAAACAACCCAACAAUUACAAUCUUUCCUCUUCUUCUUCUUCUUCUUCUUUUUGUCUCCAACACACUACUAAUAUAAGCUGUCCAUAGCAUGCAGACUGAGGAAGUUUCACCGGUAACUUCCACCGCAGUGGCGCGAGAUCAGCUCAACGGAGCUGUUGGGCACGUGUCACCAGAUGUGCGCCUCUGGGCACCUCCAUCACGAAUCACGGAGCAGGUGACAGCCGACCCACGGAAGUAUCACAUGCCGACACCUUUUUUCCCCUUUAUUUUUCUUUUUUCUUUGCAACGAAUAAAUAUUUAAAGAAAGAAAAGAGAGCCUUUUUUUUUCCUUUGCUUUUAUAAGAUGUAUUUACAUCGUCCCAGCUAAUGUUUGACCGCCACGUGUCUAUGCUUGUACUAGUCCGUCGCCGUCUACAGGGAGCGCCGAACAGCCACGUGUCGUCCUCUGCUGGGAAUAAUCCAUCAGCUUCGUGGUCGGUCGUCGCAAAAGCUCGAUCAACGCUUCCGCCUGCUUAAUUAUUUUUUGAAUUAAGUAAAAUUAGAUAAAAGAAUAAUAAAAUUGACGAAGGAAGUGAGGUGAGGUGAGGUGAGGUUACCGACCUUGUCCUUGGUCUUCUUGGAGGAGGACUGGGAGAGGGCGAUGAGCGGCGGGAUAGCGCCCUCGCGGAUGACCAUCUUCCGGUAGGCGGCGCUUUCCUCGCAGAUCUCCAGCAGCGAAAGCAUCGCCACCUCCUUCUGGCGCUGGCUUCCCACUUCCACCAUCUCCACGAGCACCGGGACACCGCCCUCCUCCACCGCCGACGCUCGGCCCUCCGGCUCCGACAGCAGCCGGUGCAGCACGUACGCCGCCUUGUCCACCAUCUCGGACUCCGGGUCGGCCAUUAGGUCUAGAAGCGGGCGCACCACCCCGGCCUCGACGGCCCGGGCCUUGUUCUCCUUCGCGGCCAGGAGGGUGAAGAGGGCGGUGGCGGCGUCCUUCUUCCCGCGGGAGCCGCCGGUCUCGAGGAGGGCGACGAGGGGCGGGAUGGCGCCGGAGCGGCCGAUGACGGCCCGGAGGUCGUCGAGCUGGGCGAGGCGGAGGAGGGCGCAGGCGGCGUUCUCGCGGGCGGCGGGAGUGCCGGAGCGGAGGGCGCGGACGAGGUAACGGACGGCGCCGGCGGCGGCGAUGGGCCCCUUGUUCUCGUCGCAGAGGGAGAGGUUGAGGAUGGCGGUCACGCCGUGCUCCUGCAGCUGCGGGUCCGGGUGUGAGAGGAGGGCGACGAGCGGGACGACGGCGCCGGCGCGGGCGAUGCGGAGGCGGUUCUCGGUGCUGUGCUUGGCGAGGAGGCGGAGCUCCAUUGCGGCGCGGCGCCGGGACUCGACGGAGGGGGACCCGAGGUCGGAGAUGAGGCCGCGGACCUCCUCGUCGGAGUAGUAGUCGGAGGCAAGAAGGCGGCGGAGGGAGGAAGCGCCGUUGCCGGAGGCGGAGCAUUGGCUGUUGCAGUCGCUGAAGGCGCCGGAAGAGCCGGCGCCGUCGCUGUAGCUCCGCCUCGCGUGGCGGCCAAACUCCGGCGGGUUCUCCAUCAGCAUCAUUGCAAUCGGAUGAAACCCCCAAUCCAACUCGAGAAGGAAGCGAAUGAUAUGAUAUGCUUCGUUGCCUUUUGAGAAGAGGGCAAAGCAAGCAUAGCAUAGCAGUAGUAUAAAUAGGCCGAUCGCCAUGGCGGGGCGUUGGGAAGAGGGUAGAGCGUUCGAAGCUCGCACGUGGGACCCAGGUGUCGGCGUACGGGCGUCUCCCUGGCGGGCGCACGUGGGGAGGCCCGGCUCGGGCGGUGCGGUUUAAUCGCGUACGACCGAAGACGGUCGAACCGGGUCGGUGGUUUGUUCUGCCCUUUUUAAGUGCAAGACGCUUGCGAGGAACGUAACCCCGGGCAACCCCCACGCGACUCCUACCCUUAUCAUGAUUGGAGAGACACUUGAGGUCUGGCAUGGGACCCAUCGGAGUUUUUCUUAAGUCCAUCAUCCAUUCCACUCGAAUUAGUUGAUUUCUUACCUUAACAUCAAGUCUUUGGAUUAAAUCGUGUGCUCAUCGAGGGUUGAGUUUUAUGAUUAUUUUAGGCUUGAAAUGUAAGGAUAGAGACAAAAUUACUCAAAAGCAUGAUCUCUAAUCAUUCAUUUUGGGUGCUUUUAGAGUGACCAAAAGCAUUAAUCAUCUUAAUACAUUGGAGCUUUUGAGUGGUACAUUAUUGGUUGAGCCAAUAGGAUAGUACCUUGUAUCAUCGUUGUUGGGAUAUGUUACAUGAAUACUUAUUUGUGUGAACUUUUGAGAGCAAUGAGACUGUCGUCGAUCCUUUUUUUAUAUGACUAUUCAAAUCUUACAAAGUUUAUUAUUGUAUUUUGCAUUGUCCAUUAAAUAUUUGAUAAAAUAUCUAAUUACGAGAUCUCAAGUUUAAUACUUCUAUUAAUAUGUUUCUUUUUUGAUAAAUCCUUAGGAUGUAAACUCUUUGCGGACGAACGUGUCUCACGACUUAGAGAUGAAAGUUUUAUCCUGAUAUAAUAAUAUACAUUAUCCGAGUAUUGAAUUGACAAAUUUCUAUAAUAUACUUCAUAUAUAUAAUUAACUAUUUAAAAUUCAUAAUUAAAUAAUAUAAUAUUACAUGAAGAAUCUAGUAUAAUAUUUUAAUUAUUACCAUUAAUUUGAGUCUAAAUAUUAUACGUCAUGUUGGAGCAUUCAUCGUGGACUCAUUUUACAUGUUUAUUUAUAAUUUAAAGAAAUAUCUUGUUCGACUCAUUUUAGAUGUUUGUUUGUAAUUUGGAUGUUUGGGUUAAAUCAUCGAUGAUGAUGGACCAUUUGGUCGAUCGGUCAUUGGUGCGGCCCGUAGGCUUGUAAAGAAUUAUAACUUUUGACGAUGGGCAUACCCGUACAAUUAUAUCCUUUCCGAGCAUGUAAACUCCAAAAAGUACAUUUAAGGGUAGGAGUGAUUCGACGAACUUAUGAGUCAUUGGUUCUCAUACUCCUCAACCAAUGUAGAACUAAAUGGUCUUAUCAAUCAGCAAGACAAAUUUAAGUCCAUCAAUAAUGAUUGUAUAAUCUCUUGUCAAUGUGAUCGAUCGCCUCUAAAAUAUGAAGUUAUUAGAAAAGAUAUGACACGAUAUAUAGUAUCUCAAAUUCAAUUAGGAUGUACUUUUAUUGAGAUAUGGUAUUACAUAUUUAAGAAAAAGUUGACUUGAUUGGGAUGUAAUUUGUUUACUUGUGACAUGGAGAGAAAUCUAAACAUAUUAAUUUUUUAUGGAUAUGUUUCCAUCUACAAGUCUAAUUUUACAUGAUAAUUUGACAAUUAAUUAAUGCCACCAACAUCUUCUAAUCACAACGCAAUUACUAUUUUAUUCCAUGAGAAGUGUUGUCGCAAUCAAACUUUCUGCUUGAUGAAAUCUCAAGAUGGAUCGGAGAGCAUUCGAACAUGCAAUUGUUACUGUUAUCACAAUUAUUUUUAUCGAUAUCAUUUCGACUACAACAUGAUACGAUGAUUGGUGUUGCCACCGUGCGGUGGGCUAAGAAGAAAUAGAGAGCAAGUGAGGUACGUGAAAAGGCUUCUCGGGAACUCAUCGAUGGUGUUCGUGAAUCAUCAAAUUAGAAGCCAUUUCGUGUUUAUUUCCAAGAUUUUGAAGCUCGCUUGUGUGGAGGAUGAGAAAUCCGUGGAGAUUACAAUGAUUUGGAAUUUGAUGUUAAAUCUUCAAACGUUCUUCCACAUCUCAUUACAAUGAUUCAUCUCCCAUAAUUCUGAUUCGUUCUACUCCUAAUAAUAAUAAUAAUAAUAAUAACAAUAAAUAUUAUUAUUAUUAUUAUUAUUAUUAUUAUUAUUAUUAUUAUUAUUAUUAUUCUUCUUNNNNNNNNNNNNNNNNNNNNNNNNNNNNNNNNNNNNNNNNNNNNNNNNNNNNNNNNNNNNNNNNNNNNNNNNNNNNNNNNNNNNNNNNNNNNNNNNNNNNNNNNNNNNNNNNNNNNNNNNNNNNNNNNNNNNNNNNNNNNNNNNNNNNNNNNNNNNNNNNNNNNNNNNNNNNNNNNNNNNNNNNNNNNNNNNNNNNNNNNNNNNNNNNNNNNNNNNNNNNNNNNNNNNNNNNNNNNNNNNNNNNNNNNNNNNNNNNNNNNNNNNNNNNNNNNNNNNNNNNNNNNNNNNNNNNNNNNNNNNNNNNNNNNNNNNNNNNNNNNNNNNNNNNNNNNNNNNNNNNNNNNNNNNNNNNNNNNNNNNNNNNNNNNNNNNNNNNNNNNNNNNNNNNNNNNNNNNNNNNNNNNNNNNNNNNNNNNNNNNNNNNNNNNNNNNNNNNNNNNNNNNNNNNNNNNNNNNNNNNNNNNNNNNNNNNNNNNNNNNNNNNNNNNNNNNNNNNNNNNNNNNNNNNNNNNNNNNNNNNNNNNNNNNNNNNNNNNNNNNNNNNNNNNNNNNNNNNNNNNNNNNNNNNNNNNNNNNNNNNNNNNNNNNNNNNNNNNNNNNNNNNNNNNNNNNNNNNNNNNNNNNNNNNNNNNNNNNNNNNNNNNNNNNNNNNNNNNNNNNNNNNNNNNNNNNNNNNNNNNNNNNNNNNNNNNNNNNNNNNNNNNNNNNNNNNNNNNNNNNNNNAUAUAUAUAUAUAUAUAUAUAUAUAUAUAUAUAUAUAUAUAUAUAUAUAUAUAUAUAUAUAUAUGUAUGUAUGUAUGUAUGUAUGUAUGUAUGUAUGAGCACAUCAUAAUUAUAAUGUCAUAAAAAAUUAUAGAAAAUAAAAUAUUUUUUUCUAAUGUAAAACAUAACAUAUAAGCUUUAUGUUGUUGGAAAGUCUCAUCUAAUCUUGUGUUAUUUUGAGAUUUAAAAAUAUUGUAAAAACUAAUGUUCAAUGUACGUUAGAGUUAUAUGAUACUGAAAUGAUUGAUGUUUUACGUGUAGAUUUUAAAUAUAUAGGAUAUAGGCAUUAAAAAUUAGUAAGUGUCCAUAAAAAUUCAGAUCAUCAAAUACGAGACAUCCAAUUAAUUUGUUUUGGAAUUAGAAUUUCCGAUAUCAAAUUUCUAACUUAAUUUAAUCUUAUUAUUGGGUGCCGUGUGAAUUAGAAUCCAAUGUAUUAUUAUUAUUAUUAUUAUUAUUAUUAUUAUUAUUAUUAUUAUUUUCUUGUAUCGAAUCACGAAGCCGACACUUGUAUUAAUUAUUGUGCGUGAAUGAUGAUUACUUAAUGCCACCAACAUCUUCUUUUCACAACGCAAUCAUAUGGCACCAAAAAAAAUAAAUCCACCUCCAACAUUAAUUUAUGAACCAAUUUGAUUCAAUAAUUGUUUUAAGUACUCUAAAUCUACAUCCAUUGUUGGAUGAUUAGCACAUGAUUAUUGAUAGCAAGCCCCACAAACAAUACUUGGAGCUUGUUUAAUGGAUAUAUGAGUUAAGUCUUUUUUAUGUGUUCUUUCCUUAUCACACCAUCAAGAUUUGUACCAUGAGAUUUAUAUGUGACUAAAUAUUAUGUGUUAGCUAUCUUAGAUAGUAAUGAUUUUGAUAGUUUAUCGUAAUAUUCCCUAUUUAUCUUUCAUAAAAAAAAGAAUUAUAUCAUACAUAAUAAUAACAAUAACAAUUCGUAAUGUUUGAACUAUAGUGUAUAAUACCGAACUUGGUUUAGAUGUGAUAGAUCACAUGCAUGGAAUAUUUAAAUGUUGAACAAAUCAUUAGACUUGGAUUAACUUUUAAAUUAAGGAUGGAGAGUUUAGAUCGCUCGAAUCUAAUCGACUUUUAAUGUCGAUACGAUGAGUAUUCAUCCAUGAUUAUUAAAUGAGUGAGAUAUAAAUAUUAACGCAAAUCAGUUAAGGUGAUAGAGGUUAUUCGAAAGAGAUUUAAUAUAAAUCUUUUGGUAAAGAUCGUUCUAGUGGUAAGAAAAAAAAAAGAUUUAAUGUUGGUGAUUUCCUUAGAAAAAAACUCUUAUUUUAGAUUUUUUUCAAAUAAUAUUCUCUUUUGAUUGUUCUCAAAUAGUAAAUUUCAUGUAUUCUUUAUGAAAUUUAAACUAGUCAUUAUUAGCCACAGUAAAAAAAUGAUAUCUUUUCUACUCUAAUUUGCAUUAAAUAUGAGCUUUAAAAUAGAUUCGUAUGCAUUCCAUUGAAUGGAAUUGCUAAAUGUUAUUUAAUAUCGUUUCAUUAUCAGAUUUAUCACUAUCAUCUCCUCCAUCCACUAGAAGUAUUAUAUUUUAAGAAAAGGGCUAAAGUGCUUAUUCCUUUUAAGCAUCAUAGAUUUGAAUUAAGAAUAUCUACUUCAUCAAUAUCGAUAAAAAUUAUUAUAUAAAAUUCAACAAAUCUCAAUCAUAAUUAAUGAAAAAUACUUUUCACGUUAAGAAUCAUUUAAGAUCAUGACUAUGGAAGGGAUCGAUUCAAGAGAUAAAUCUAACGUGAAUAAGUCUCCCAAGAGAUCAACUUCGCUUUCAUUUCCUAUUUUAGUCCUCUUAGUUAUAUAUAGGAUAGACAUGAAAGAUUGAAUCAAACUCUUGUGUUCAUCAUCUUGGUGGCAUCUCCACUUACAUGAUUAUCAAAUUGGUAUCAUGGUCUCUUACUCCAAAUAACAAUAAAUAACUAUUAUAAUAUGUCGGGAGUGCAUGAUGUAUGUGUAUGCAAAUGAUUCGUGAAAUGUCACAUCAAUAUCAUGUCACCUUGGAAUUAUCCGAGUAAUGGAGGCUAAAUGCUGCCUCAAAGACUACAAAACCAAAGACAGUGCCUCCUCAUCUGACUCCAUCGAUCAAGCCACGAUUCCCACUGCAGUGCCUUCCUCAUCCUUCCCAACUACUAACCCUAAUGGCGUUCAUAGUUCUCCCACUAUACCAUCCUCCCCACUCACCAACCACUUCAUCCUAAUAUUCUAUUCCCUAUCUCCCAAAAUAUGAUCUUUCAUAAUAUAUAUAUAUAUAUAUAUAUAUAUAUAUAUAUAUAUGUAAAAAAUAUUUACUAUGGGAGUCAUCAUAUUAAGUUAUUUAUGAGACUCGAUACAUUUAUAAUCUUCUUUCAAUCUUUAUCUCACACAUAACCCCAAAAAAAAUAAAAAUUCCUCCUUAUAUAUACAUAUAUAUAUAUAUAUAAAGAUAAGAACAAAAAGAAAGAUAAGGAGGAUAUUUCUACUAGGAAAUAAACAUAUCAUGAUGUUGAAGGAUUAAAAUGAUCACCGAUUUUAUAGAUUAAAAGCUUUAAUACGAGUCAAAAUAAUGUAAGGGUUCAUAUGACAACAUCAAAUGGCAUGGGAUCCACUUGCCACCAUCUCCGCCUUUUGUUGGUAAAUGAACGCAAUGCCACCGUAACCCUCCAAUUAAGAUUGUCUCUAUAAAUUUAGCCAUAUUUAUUUAUACAUGGAAAGUAAUAUUAAUGAUUUUAAAGAAAAAAUAAUGUCAACUUUCCAUGUUAUUCUCAUUUCCAAACCCUCUUUGCUAUCACUAUCUAAAAAACUAUUUCCUAACAUAUUUCUUUCUUUAAAAAUAAUUUUUGGAUUUUUUUAGUUAAAGUUAAUAUUAGUUAAGUAAAUAUCUAUUUUUAUAAAAAAAAUAACAAAAACACUAAUAAAAAAGAAAAAGGAUUUUUCGCCCUUUUCUUGUGUCGAAUAGAAGACUCGUGAGACUAUUAAUCCCUCAUAAAAUGAUUUUUUUUCUUUCAUUUUUUUCAUUCAUGCUUUGUAUUCUUUUUCUUUGUAUGUCUAUUGUCUAUUACUAAGAACAAGAUAUAAGUAAUGAAUUCUGGACAUCCUGCAAAAUGAAAAAAAAAAAAAAAAAAGCAAAGCAACUAAAAAUGUUUACAGAUUUUUUGAUCAUACAUAAUUGUAUGGAUCAACAAACAUUCGACAUUUUUUACCAACUUGAUGUUAAGGAAUCUCUGUACCUAGAAAUUCAUUUCGUACAAUUUUACCAUCUUGAUGUUGAGGAAUCUUUGCACCUAGAAAUUCAUUUGGUACAAUUGAAUCUUUUCAACUGUUUCUUUUUAAGAACUAAAAACCUUGUGCCAAAAUAGCAGAUGCCAAGAAGAACAAAAUACCUUGGACCCGUAAUAGGUCUUGAAGCACUAUUUCUACAUCUCCCUGACCAAAGCCCCCCACAUUGGGAUUGCUCGUUAAUGGUUGAUCAAGCUUGAUGGAUUCACCCUCUGAAACAAGAAGUUCUGGUCCUAGAGGUAUAAUAUCAACCACUUGAUGUCCAUUCGACGUAACAACUAUGGUUAUUUCAUAUCCCCCUUUUUCUUCACAUACUAUUUUGUUUAGUAUACUUGCUGAUGUAGCAUUAUAGAUUGUAUUAUUACUUUUGCCACCAUCAGGAUAAAUCUGACCCCUUCCUCUGUUCCCACCUACGUAUAUGGGAUACUUUAAGAAGUGAACGUCUUUCUUCGUAGCAGGGUCGGGGGAAAGAAUUGGAAAGAUGAUUUCACUAUAUUUCUGACCAGGAACAGAACCUAUCACAAUAAUAUUUCUUUUAUUGGGACGAUAAAUCUGAAAAGAUAGAUUUCCUAUCUUUUCUUUCAACUCAGGAGAAAUAUGAUCAAGGGGGGCUAAUUCGAAUCCGUCGAGUAAAAUGAGAACAACCGCCACAUUCAAAGUCCCCUUUUUACCAUUAGCAAUAACUUAUUUCAGUUGCUUAUCAUAAGGGAUUCGAACAACUGCUUCAAAUACAGUAUCAGGAAGCACAGCUUGCGGAACUUCAAUAUCCACGGGUUUAUUAGCUAAAUGGCAAUUGGCACAUACAAUUCGUCCCGUUGCUUCUGGGUUUUCAUAACCCUGCUACCCAAAAAUGGGAUAUGCAUUUGAAAUAGAUGCCCGAGUUAUUACAUAUAUCAUGAUCGAUACGAAAAUGGAUCGAGUCAUCUUUUCCUUUACCCAAGAAAAAGUAUUUUUAUUUUGCAUGUCCAAUCAUUGAUCCCCGAAUUUCUACAAUAAAUUAGAUAGGUAGCUAGUAUAGUUCCCUAUACACGAGUCUGUCAUUAUACUAAAAUAAUUAUACUGGAAUAUAGGACGAAUACCUUGAACAGAUAAAAGUAUAAAGAAUUAAGUCAAAUUGAAAAUACUUUCUUUAUACACGAAGAAAGAUUCUGAUUUGAUUGAUAUAAUAAGAUCAAAUGAGUUUUUUAUACAUUUAUUAAAUGAUAAAUUACUAUAGGAGAUACACGAUUUAAAAAAAGGAAGAUCCAAUAUUUCACAAUUGUAUCUAGAAUAACUGGAAAAGUAGAAAUAUAAUUUGAUCGUUAUGAUCCAAUCCAAAAUCGUUGUAGACCGAACCAAUCAUUAGUUCCCAACCAUGGGUCGAGUGAAAUCCGAUCCAUAAAUCAGUAACUAAAAGAAUAGAAAAAGCUUUAGAAAUUCCUGAACCCAAGAAUUAAGAAUGACGAGUUCUUCAUUACUCAGAAUAAAAUAACCACUUAGAAUAGCGAAACAGAUUAUAUUUGUCGAGAAAUGCAAAAUGAUAUGGAGAUCAUAUUCAUUGUGUGCUUUGACUAAUUGUAUUGUUUCCUUGUGUAUUUCUAUAUGAAGUUUUUGUAUAUGCGUUUCCGGGUACUCCUUUAUUAUUUUGUCCAAUAGGAAUAGUUCUUCUAAUUCUAUGAAUCUUUCCAGAACGUUUUUCUCUUGAAUAUGAUUCAAAAAAUUUUCGGAUUGCCUGGUAUUCCACCAAUUAGUAACCCAAGGUUCCAGACAUUUAUUAAAUGAGAAAAAGAUCCAUCAGGGCAAAAAUAAUAGAUGCGAGAAAUGGGAGGGAGGUCGAUGCUUUCUCUUUUUUCUUUUUUUCUAUUUUUUUUUCUGUGAAUUGAAUUGUUAAUGAACCUGCUUCAUUCGUUGACUCUAUCUGAUCUGAUAUUUCUUUGAAGCACGAGUUGUAUAACAAGGUAUUGACCUAUGGGUCUAUUCCUUUCCUAUUAUU
Molecule: long non-coding RNA, 52345 nt
Filed under: Musa acuminata (dwarf banana)
Lineage: Eukaryota; Viridiplantae; Streptophyta; Magnoliopsida; Zingiberales; Musaceae
Description: long non-coding RNA (MACU_LNC001837)
Source: RNAcentral